GCUCUUCCUGUGCGCAUGUGUAACCGGAAAUGACACUAGACUGCAGGAAGGGAGGGAGGAGAGAAGGACUGGAAGGUGGGGGCAAACCAAACCAAAUGGUGUUGGGGUUGGCGACGUACGUAAGGCAGACAUCAGCCUGUGGCUAGCUGCGUUUCUUGGGACAAAAAAAAAAAAAAAAAAAAACGCCUGCACUCUUUCAGCCGUAUGCGCGUGCAUGCAUGGGGGCGCACGAGAUCGAUCGAUUGACAGACAGGCGACUUCCUAUGCAAAAUUUUGUCGCAAGUCUAGCUACGGCGCACACACGCUAACACACGCGCGCGCGCGCGCACACACACACCUGCACCUCAGCUCUCUCCUCCUCUCCCUCAUAUACAUACUCCAUGUGUGUGUGCAUCAUCAGCUGCUGCUGCUGCUGCCUGCAGUGAACAGCAGCAUCAGUCGUCGUCUGCUCGCACCAGUCUCCCUCUAGCUACAUGCAUGCGUAGCUCACACUGGGGAGAUUCCAGCUGCUGCCUGCUCCUGCUCCUGCAGCCAGCUCCCGGCGAUGUCGGCGGCGGCCCUGAGCGCGUCAUUGCCCGCGCCGAGAAGGCCCUUGCCGGAGAACCCGAUGCAGUAGAGCCCAUUGGGCCCUCUCCAGUUGCUGCUCGCGGGGCUCCGAGCCCGCGGCUUCCCGUCCUCCGUGAAGAACCCACCAGCGUCCUGCACGUUCGCAGUGUAGUUCAGAACUUUAGAUUGCAUCUCUUUUGUGCUUUGGUUGAGAGACGAUGGUGGAUGGAUGUUGUUACCUGGAGCCAGGACGGGACGUUGCUUCUGUAGCCGGUGGCGAAGAUGACGGCAUCGAACGCCAUCUCGCUGCCGUCCACGAACCUUGCCCCGUUGCAGCCCAGUGACUCCACUUCUGCCACCACCUGUUACACAAUCCAUCAGAAACCUCACAAGUGCACAUGCUGACAUGCAUGCUUGCCGUAAAUUAAAUAUUACUCUACUAAGUUUGAAGUCAAAAAGAGUGUGCACACUACUGUACGGGGGGAACUUGUUGCUACUCUAGCUGGCUGGCUCCUGGCUAGACCACAUUGCAAGCGAAGGUUAAUUAUUACGCGAGUGAGAUCGAUCGAUCGAUCAUUGGAGAACGAAUAUGCGACAGUGGGGGAUCUAUUUUUGUUGUUGUGCAAGCUCUGUUUUGUCCCCACGUCUAAUUUAUUUCGUCCCUGCGUCGUGGACAAGGGGCGACAUCUACCAAAAGUACACCGCAGACGACGUACGGCUGCUGCUGCUGCUGCAUCAUCAGGGCAGGGCAGGGCAGGAGUGGUAAAGGCCAGCCAAAAGAUCGAGGUAAAACGGUAAAUCACUAGCUCACCAACAAGAGCUAGGGAGAUCGGCCAGAAGCAGGCCAGAACGUUGUAGAAACCUCAAAAGUGGUGGAAAGUUGGCAUGGCAUGCACAAGAAACAACUCUCUGUUGACGCUUCCCCAACCACGCCCUAUAGCUAGCUUUUUCUAGAUAGGGAGAGAGAUAAAGAGAAGGAGAAGUAACCGUAACCAUACCUUGAUGUUUCCAGAUUUGAUCAAGGACCAUGCUCCCACGUCGAGAACAGGGCUCUUCCCGGUCACGUCCUUGAUCUCCAGCGGGCCCAGCUUGGGCCUCUUAAGCCCGUACUUUUCGGUAUCCCCCAGGGCCAUCUUUGCAGCCAAGAGGAGGAGCCUAUCGACCAGCUUUACCGGCAGCCAUCGCAGUAGCUUCAUGGCGAUGCCAAAUGUUGAGGACCAAAGCAUCUCUCGGGGUAAAACAUGCACCUGUUUUCAUCAUUGCAAACAAAUAAUCUGAAUUAAUUCAAGUGCAGGAUGUUGAAAUACGGUAAGUAGCAUGUAUAAUCUUGUAGAGAAAGACCAUAUAUAGCUAGCUCACAUAUAUAGGAGUAUUUCACUAACACACAGCUAGAGAGAGAAAGCAGGGUUCUAAAUGGAAGCUAAUAUAAGUACUCCAGCAGAUAACAUAACAUACUACGGAAGAGGUUUCCGGGCAGAGCAGAGCAUAUUCUGUUUAUAGAAAGACAGAGAGGCCAAACUUGACAUAAGAAUAUAAUAAUUCUGAAAAUAGCAAGCGCAACUAACACUGUACUGAACAAAACUAAAUACAGGAUAAACUGAUCUUAAAACAGGUAAGCAUUGCACCCUAUAUGCAUCUUGUUGUCAGCAGAAAGACCAAGAAAACAAGUGCAACUGUACCUUCACCACAUCUUAAGAAAGCAAAAAAGUGUAAGCCACUAUUAUGUAAAUCAAUAAAAAAAAUCAAGCAGGGCACCGUGCAUCAAGAAAAAACCAAGAAACUAAUUAAUAUAUGGAUCCCAUGAGAAGGCUGGGAGUGGCCAUAGGACGUACUUACCCCACUCCUAACUGACAUGAAAGGGAUUGCACCAUGCUCACAGAGGUCCAAGCACAUCUCCAUCCCUGAGUUGCCACACCCCACGACCAGCACCCUCUUGCCCUUGAACCUCUCCCCGCUCUUGUACUCGCUCGAGUGCAACACCUCCCCGGCAAACCUCUCCCUCCCCUUCACCUUGGGCACCACCACCUCCGCGUUCUCCCCGCUGGCCACCACCAGCCACUUGGACACGUACUCAGUCACCUCGCCGCCGUCCGCAACCGCGGUGACCCGCCACAGAGCCGCCGCCUCGUCGAACCGUGCCUGCGUCACGGCACGGCCGAACAGUGGGGCGAUGGAGAAGUGCGCCGCGUAGGAGUGGAGGUAGCGGAGGAAGUCGUGCUUGCUCGGGUAAAUCGGGAAGUCGGGAGGGAAGCGGACGUGUGGAAGCUCGCAGAACACCUUGGGGAGGUGUAGGCGGAGCCGGCCGUAGGUGCGGUUCGUCCAGAGAUCGGCAAUGCCGUUGGAGCGCUCGAGGAUGGUGAAUGGCACAGAGUGCUGGCGAAGGGUGGCCGCCACGGCAAGGCCCGAAGGACCGGCGCCAACGAUGAUAGGGCCAUUCACAAGGCAGGAACUCUGCCUAGGGCUCGUUCCGUUAGCUUGCUCUUGCAUGAUCGACCGAUCGAUGGAUCGAGAAUCGAUCAAUAGGCUAUGAACUUAUAUAUAGCUAGGCACACAAACACACAACUCUCUCUUGGAAGAAGCUCACACUCCUAAGCUCUCGUGGAACUGGAUGAUCACACCUCGCUCCUAGCUAGCUAUAGUCCUCUGCCUCUCUCUGAAAGAAGCUAGCUAAAAGAUGUAGGCAGGCACAACCUAAGCUGCUAGGGAAAUCAUCUUUUUGCCUCUCCUCUUGCAUGCACUACAGUGGUACCAGUGUAAAGCAUGGAGGAGGAGAAAGGUGUGAUCAGAACCUAUUUGGCUACCUCAAUGAGCUCAGUGUGAGGGUCCAUCUCCCCUAUAUAUAAGGAGAAGUGAAUAUAAAGGGACAGCUUACAUUGUACAGAGCUAUUUUUAUGAGUACUGUCACUACUGUUGGAAUGAUUGCCACCAAUCUUUUCCGGACAAAAAGGAAAGUGAAAAUAACAAUACUUUAUAUCUUAUAUUUUUGAGUAAAUUUCACAAAACCACAUUUCUCGAGGCUAGCGUUUCAUCGGGCCACAGUUAUCACUAAUAGUUUCACAGAACCACAGUUUUUUGGGCACUCUGUUUCACAGAACCCAAAUCAGGUAGAUUAUGUCGUUUAAUGGUUUUUCUGACAGGUGGGCCCACCAGUCACACGCCACCUCAAGCGAACAACCCGUUUCGUUGCCAUAUCAGUUCCUGGACCCGACCCGAGAUGACGAUUUAGGUAGAGAAAUAACCUUUAACGGGUCCGGAUGGAUCCGGAAGCUGAUGUGGCAACGAAAUGGGUCUGUCGGACUUGGCAUAUGUCAAGUGGGUCUCGCCUGUCAAAAAUACCAUCAAACGGUCCAAUCUACCUAAUUUGGGUUCUGUGAGACAGCUUGCCCAAAAAACUGUGGUUCUGUGAGACUAUUAGUGAUAACUGUGGCACAAUGAAACCCUAACCCCAAAAAGUGUGGUUUGUGAAAUUUACUCUAUAUUUUUACUUGUUUAUUUAUUCAUAGGCAUUCCUAGAACCCAGAGAUCAAAUCAUAUGAGAUCUUGUCAUGCAAUGCACUUUGACAAACUAACCAUGUAUGUGCCCCUGUCAGACGAUGCAUGAACAUUGUUUCCAGUGUUGGAUCUUCAUAUCUAGAGGUGAAUCUUUCGUAUAUAGUAGUGGUCCUUGGUUUGCGUAGAUUCAGCCAAUCAUUUCUUUGUCUGCUGAAAGGAGGGAUGAAGGAGUCGAUUUGUUAAUAUGGGUAAUGCUCACAUAUCCAUGCUGCAAAAUAUAUAUUUUACCCUUUUGGAUAGCAUGGAAGCACACUUCAAUGAAGAAACGUUGCUUUAUAACGAAGGGAAGGGAGGGGAGACCCAUACCAUGAUACCAAGCCCUAUACCAUGCAUCUUGUUAGCAAGUAGGCAAUGCUGAUCCGGACAUUCUGCUAUGUACCUGACAGGGCAACCCUGCAGGUCAACCCUUCGCUUGAAAAUAAGAUCCAGAAGUUUUUUAUAGCUUAUGCGAUUAGUCUACUUACCUAUUUACUUGGGGAUAUGAUCGUUAGUCGCUACUUAAUAUCUACACACAGACUAGAACCAUGGCAGUGCAAUAGGAUGGAGGAAAGGUGCAGAAAUAAAAGACCAGCCUCAUUAUUGCAUAUAAAAUGCGGAAAUGUAAUGUGUUUAAUUCCCAUCAGAUAAGAAAUUGACAAAAGAUGCAUAUUGAAAUUUGGAUGCAAGUCCCCGUCAAAAUAUUUGGAUGCAAGUGAGUACAAGUUUCCACCGUGUGAAUGUGUGAUAUAGCACAGUCAGGAAAUUAACUCUGUGAUCCUGAAAGUUGAUAUGGUGAAGUACUCUACUGUGUUUGAUAGAUAGUACACUAUGUAAGGAUCUCGUUGUCACAUGGAUGUUGACAAUUGUGUAAUAUGACUUGGAUGUUCACAUCAAGCUUCGUUCACAUCAAAAGCAUCCUAUCUAUUGUGUUCAAGAAUUUAAUGUCCGAGAUAGAGGUGACUAGUUCAUUUUCAGUGAAAUUAAUGUUAGCAGUUUAAUGUGGAGGUUGUUCAUGGUUGCAUAAGAUUGUGUCAGGAUAACUAAUUAACAAUGAAGGAAAUUGAUUUUGCUUUUCCUAUGUUGAUGAUGCUAACAGAAACACCAAUCAUUCUGCAUGGUGAAGGUGCAUUGUUAAAUUAUGACUUCUGAGUAACAGGAUACUGGAAACUCAUUCUAACCUGGUCUUAACUCCAAGGCAAUUUAAACAACAUUCAACAAAGCAAAACGAAGUACUCCUACAAGGCUUCAGAGAAACUACUGGUAAUAAAAAAGAGCGGUGAACAUAAAUACUGAGCACACCUUCCGCAGAACAGAGCGCACAAAGGCUUCAGGCCUUCAGUUGAUCCCCUGCAUCCGCUGGAGCAAUCAUCUCCAUGGCUAGGAUGGCAAAGUUGCUGCUCAAACUGAUCCCUGUAUAACUAUUGGAACAAAGAUUCCUUGAGAAAGGACUCAUCUUCGUGGCUCAGGCAUUUCCACAAACACGUUGUGCGCAAGCUGCUGGCACGCAACACCAUGAAUCCAGGGCUUGCUCCGGUCUGCGAGAUCGAACAUGGAUCCGGGAUUAGGGUUUCUGUGACAGAAUCUAGGUCUGAUCGAGACAACGCAUGAAGGGUCGCCGGGUUCACCAUCUUCCUUUCGACUCGCCGUGAUCCGAUCGCUACGCGGCGCACAAAGCGCUCCUCCGCGCCAACGCAACUGAAAAAAAAAACUGUACGCGGUGCCUUUUUGUUUACAGGAAGCGCUUUCCAGCGGAGAAGACGGGCUGCGGAAGCGCACCGUUUCGAAGGCAGAACUGUCGAGCUGGGCUGAAAUCGUUUCAGUUGAAUUACGCUAUCCAGGCCAGAAGGCGGAUAACAUUAAUUUUUUUGUUUUGGAGAGGAGACAUUAAAGUUAUGCGGGGCAGGUUGCUGACGCCAAUUAGAAAGAGCUUAGACGACUGAUGGAUCAAACAUUUCGAUUGUAAACCAAGGAAUCAAAUCCCAACAAGUAACGCUGCACAGAAAACUCAUGAGAUCGAAUAUAGGAGUAUAUCAUCACCCUCGAAGUACGUAUUACGUUUUUGCCGGUUUUUGAUCGGCUGAUACCCAAUAUGCGCUUUUCGCAAUGCGCCUGUGGCAAGAUGAGUUCAACUGUAGGUAGUCACAUACACCCAUGCAUGAUUAUUGGCCGUAUGUCCACGUUCUUAAUUCGUUAAAGCAUGUGGGCCCCUCUUUAUCACCUCCUCGAAUAAUAUUAUUGUUCGUGUUCGAUCAAUCCAUGAGUACAAUGCCACAAGUUUUGAACAACAUGUGGCAUCCUUUUGGAUCGACCGUACAUAUCUCUGUUGAAUUUCGUAGUACUCCGUAGCACAUUACAAGGUUCAAAAUUAAGAUCGAGAUCAAGUAACGCACCGAGUAACCUUUUAAUUCUGCCGUGUUAUAGCGAAACAGAGACCGAGGCGGUGAAAUCCUUGGCUUGAGCCUCACCUCGAUCUCUUUUACCGUUCGAUCGAUAUAGGGAUUUCCCCUUGUUUUCCCUUUACCACUCCGGGCCGGGCGCCCCCUGAUUCUUCUCGCCUGUGUUGUCUAGUCCACCUGACGCGUGAACUGACGGGCGAUCCCUGUUGCUUUGCCACAGGAUGGACGCUACGUUACGUACACACCUGUAUUCUAUUGGGGCAGGGCAGUUCGUGGUGCACCGAUCGGACUGUUCGGUGGUCGCCAUGACGCCCAUGCAUUACGGACUGUGCAAAUGCCACGGCUCGCUAGCUCGCAGAUCACGUCAGUGCUCAGAGGAGACCUUACCCAGGAUGACGACGGCCUGACAACAGAGAGAGAGAGAGAUAGCUUGAGUUUGAAGUUGGGUGUAUGUACGUAUGGAUAUGGAUAAUGUAUUCAUAUCUGCAGAUCGAUGCAUGACAGCGAGCGGCAAAGGGGAGGUGAUCAGAAGAACACUGUUCGAUCUGCAGUGUAUAUACAAGAGUCAGGCCAAUUAAUAGCCCAAUGUGUUGAUCAUCGAGCAACAAAUGAUGCGCCUUUGAGGGUGCUCUAACAAUACUUCUUACUAUAAAAGAAUAUCGUGUAAAUUUUUGGUGCUGUGGGGAGAAGAAAUGAAACAAACCGAAACAUUUUUGGUAGUGUCUAUUUCUCAGUCGUCUAAGAAAUAGCAAUCGUAGCCAUCAGUUGAAGAUUUUCUUAUCCAUCGUACCUACAUUAAUUUUACAGGAAUCUCAAUGAUCGAAUCAAAGGUUGUUAUAAUAGACUAAAAGAUAAUUAUUUAUUAAUCGCUUAAGAAAUAGCAAAACCGCAUAAGUAAAAGUAUUCUCUUGUUGCAAGAAAACACAAAAGCUUUGCAUAUGGAUGCAUUGUUACGAAGGAAAGAUCAAGUCAUGCAGGAGUCCAAAAGGACAACACUCCGAAAUUGCAACGCUACAUGACUAGGUGAGUUUGACGGGAGCAGUGGCUCAUUCGCCCCAGAACAGUCCAACUUCUAGGGUUGGAGAGGAGGGUGAUAUCGGGAGUCGUGUUGUUCACUAAAUUCACGAUAAGAUUAUAGUUUGGAGCAUAAACAAAUUUAGUGUUCGGCUUACGUGAGAAACCAGGGGAGGGCAGUUUAUGGUAGAAGCUGAAAUUACGCGGAAAAAAGGCGUACAACGACGGUCUUACUGGGUCGACCCAACGGAUCAUACGGGUCGACGAUUCCUGGCUCUGCGGGCUCAAUAUCAGUUUUGUACCGACGGCCCAACAGCCCAAUGGCUUUGAAUUUCGGUCGGACCAGUGACCCAAUGGGUCUCCUUGGCCCAUCCCCAUCCCUAACUAUCCUCAAUCUCACCGGUCCAUCGGAAAAGAGAGAAAAAAACCGUCAGCCGCCGGUGCCGCCACAGCCAGGCCUCCUCCUUGCCCCUUGGCUCCUCCCUGCUCCGGCCACCGGUGACCGCAGCCUUCACCCUUCACUCCCCCGCCACAGCCAGGACUCCUCCCUGCCCCUUCCCCCGCUCCGGCCACAGCCACAGGUGAGCGCCGCCUUCACCCUCCACUCUCCCGCCACCACUCAUCGAAUCCAUCCAGGGCUCCUGCCUCUCGUCCCGCCGUCGUGUCGAGUGGAGGAGGUUUAAAUCUUUAUAUAGCGAUUAGUACUUUGUUAUGAUUAUUAUUCAUGUUUUUUCGUUGUUGCGGCAACCCCGUCUCCUCUAUUCUUCAAUUAGCUCCAUGCUUGAUGCUUUCUAUGCUCCCCUCGAUGCUGCUCAGCUCAUCGUGUUGUGAUGUUGUGGGUCGGUAGUGCCAAUGAAAUAUCAUUUUAGUGCUGUUGGCAGGGGAUAGCAAUGAAAUCUGGUGGUAUGUUAGUGUCUAGGUUGUGUUUUCUGUUGCUUCCCUUUUAUAGUUGCAUCUACAGACUUCUGUUCUGUUUAAUGCCCACAACCAAAACAUCACGGCGGCUGGGUGCCUAGGCCACAUUUUACAACAUCUCUAAGCCUUUGCCCUGUUUAAUCAUGAGUGAAGGACAGACACUAUCUUUGUGGUUUCAACCCAAAUGAAUUGAUUUACACAUUAGAAUUUUUUUUACCAGUUUGAUACUUUUAUUUAAGAUUUUUGGGUUGUAGGAAUGCUUCUUUCGGUAUGUGCAAUUAAUGCGUAUUGCAGAGGUAAUUUCAAGAAAAUAAAUUAUUUUGUUGGCAAUUAAAUGAACUGAUUUCAAAUCAUACAUUCUGUGUUCCAGCAAUAUCAGGGAAAUUUUGAGGCAUGGAGGACGAAGAAAACAUCGAGGAAGAACUUUUGCUGGUGGAGUCAGAACUCCAUGGCCUACAAGGUUUCAUCACUAACCUCCAUCCACUAUAUAUAUUUAUAGAUAUGCUAUCUCUUGAUCCAUCAAGAUUCCUCUGUUAAAUGAGUUUCAUAGUCUAUAGCUUUUACAUAACAACUCAUAUAUGCAAUAACAGUGUUACAGCCAAGAAUGUGACUAUGUGAGACACAAAGCUAACGUGUAGAACACCAUAUCUAGUUUCCAAGCGCACACCAUCAUUGUGUGGACAUUGCCAAGUAUACUAGCCUGUACAACACCACCAAAUAUCUGGUCGUUUGAUUGUGCCCCUGUGGCCCAAGGAUCAGCAACAACACCUUUUUAGGGAACUGAAAAAUACCAAUCAAUGAUGAUACCCUCAGUACUCUAUCUCCACAUACGUGAAAAGGCACUACCUGUUUUCAGACAAGUUACAUGCAACCGCAUUUGUCUUCAGAUUCUAAAAUGUUUGAACAAGGCAACUUGUUCAACAUAUGGUCACAUGCGGAGGGGCUAAAGUCACAAGGUAUAUUUUGGUCUCGGAGUAACUUCAUUUCCUCUUUAUCUCUGAUUGUAAGGGAUCUGUUGGUUGUAAUGAACAGCAGGUUUAACUGUUACAGUGGAAUGAGGCUGGUUACUCUGGUUCCUAGGCCCAAGCUAUGAGAGUUGCACUGAUGUUCUUUUAUCAGCAUGCCAUUUUUCACAUUUUCCCUACUACUAAUGCACUUGGCCCUGGGCCCAUCUUGUUUUCUUGAAUUUGAUGUUAAAGUGUGUUUUGGAUAUUAUUUUUCCUGCUAGUGGUGCUAACUCAAACAUAAAAUCAAACCGCCACUGGCCAUCUUUUCCCGUGAGCUAAUCUUCCUCUUAAAAUUCAUUAUGUGCAGACAAAAUCAAAAUGCUACUUGAUCGCCAAGAAGAAUUGUAUGAGCGCCAAUCACAGUUGCAGGCUUUGCUAGAAAUAUCUAAAACUUCCAGAGAUGCAGCAAGUAGUGCCCCUUCAGUUGCUCCGGAAGACUGGUCCGGAAAGUUUUCAUGGGAUUCUCAGGCUGACGACAUUCGAUUUAAUGUAUUUGGUAUAUCCUCCUACAGAUCAAACCAACGAGAAGUAAGUUUGUAGCAUGAAUAAUAUGUUGUUUUGAUGUUUCCUCUGCUUCGGAACCUCUUGAAGAAUCUUAUUUUGUCGUUCUUCAGAAGUUCAGAUAUGUUGCUCAAAGUGGGCAAUUUUGACCUCUGUUCCUUUGAUGCCCUUCAUUGUUUAUCUCCCAUUUCUUGGUUGUGUUGAGACUAAUUUAUAUACCAGAACCUAUCUCAGUUCUGUUACUUUUCCCUUAAUUUGCAUCCUUUUAAGCAUACUGUCCUUCCAGAUAAUCAACUCAAUCAUGAGUGGAAAAGAUGUUCUGGUUAUAAUGGCUGCUGGUGGAGGGAAGAGCCUAUGCUAUCAACUUCCAGCUGUACUUCGUGAUGGAAUUGCACUUGUCGUCAGUCCUUUGCUUUCGCUUAUUCAGGACCAGGUUUUAAAUGUUUUUCUUUUGUUUUCUUUUGUUGCUAUAUAUGUGUUCGUUCUCACUUGGUGAUUCGUACUGUUUUAGGUCAUGGGACUGACAGCUUUAGGUAUACCAGCGUACAUGUUAACUUCCACUACCAACAAGGAAGUUGAGAAGUUAAUCUAUAAGGCACUUGAGAAAGGUGAAGGGGAAUUGAAGAUAUUAUACGUGACACCUGAAAAGAUAUCCAAAAGUAAAAGGUUCAUGUCUAAGCUUGAGAAAUGCCAUCAUGCUGGGCGUCUUUCUCUUGUUGCAAUAGACGUGAGUGAUGAUAUUUUCUCUCUGUGUUGCGAGUGCCAAAAUGAAAGGUCUAGUCUUUUAUUUUAUGUUCGGAUAUCAAAUUUGCUGGUUCCAUUCAGCAAUACAUCAUCGAUAACACUCGUACGUUGUCCACCACACAGUGCAGCAUCUUUGUGCUGGUUAAAGCAGGGUCGUCUGUGAUACUCGUAGUCUCUCAAGAAUUUACUACUCCCUCAUAUCCAUAUUACUUGUCGCAGCUUUGUCUAGAUAAGCAUGUAUCUAGACGCGUUUCAUUGUAUAGGUACAUGCAUAUCUAGACAAAGCACAAGUAAUAUGGAUUGGAGGGAGUAUUUACGUUCUGCUGGUUAAUGUGGAUAAUGUGCUUGUACAUGCUUACUCAGUCAGUCCCUUACAAUUCACUUUUUAGUUUGGGUAUUUUGCCUAUUAAAGUAUACUAAACUUCCACUCGUUGACUAAAAGUACGUUUACUUCUAAUAAUUUAAGGCCUAUUUUGUACUCCUGUUUACUCAUCACUCAUACAAGAAGAGUAAUUGAUCCCGAUUAUUUUUUGAAGUUCAACUGUAAGAGUUGCGCGAUUGAAGUCUGACAGUAUAUAGAUAUAUAAUUUUUACAAAGUGAGACACCAAAGUGCGACCUUCGAGGAUCGAACUCUGGUGGGCUGCUAGCACACCUAGCUGGCUGACCACCUAAGCUAUGCUUGGUUCUCAUUGAUCCCGUUUAUUCUGUUGAGUGUUGACUGUUCAUGUUAGAGCUGAAAUUUUUGGGAGCGUAGCCUGGAGGGGAGGAUUAGAUCUUAAUUGACGGGAGAACACUUGGGAGCCAUGGAAGAGAAGGUGCAACUAGGGGCUGUACGUGUGUGUGUGUGUGGAGAGAGGGAGAUUCCUUCUAAUUCUUUGCUUGAUUGAUUCAACGUGUGCCUACCUCAUUGUAUACAGGGUUUGCCUUACAUAUUCUGGAUUCUGAAUAGAAAUAGACCAGGAGUCCUAGUCAAAGUUUUAUAUUCGGGCUAUAGCGCAGCAAUAGUGGUCUACUCUGAGCAGAGUUCAGCUAUUUGCAUAUAUUUAUAAUUUAGCAGCUAUAUCGGGCUAUGGUGCCAUUUAGCUCCUGGAGAGGGUUGCCACUAAACAUCACAGCCCGCUAUUUAAAACUUUGGUCCUUAGAACACAAACUGGACCUUUAUAGUGAUAACUCCUCCUUCAAUAGGAAUUACCACUGAUACAAGACUUUUCCUAAUCUGAAUUGCUGCAUGGAUCCUAAGCUGGUUCAGCUUCCUCCGGCAAUGCUGCAGCUCCUGUAUUGGGCUGCGGCUGUAGAGCAGCAACAACGCUUUUAUGUUUGUCCCCACAUAAUAGCCCACAGUUUAUGAGCUGCCAUUACUUCGUAUUGUUUGCAGUAUGUCUGUCAUGAAAGAAUUACUUAUGAAGUUGUGCCUUCAAGCACAAUGCCAUCUAUCGGGAUUUUUCCAUUGACGGCUAUUGUGUAGGAGGCACACUGCUGCAGUCAGUGGGGGCACGAUUUCCGUCCAGACUACAAGAAUCUGGGCAUUUUGAAGAUCCAGUUUCCCAGCGUUCCCAUGAUAGCUUUAACUGUGAGUUAUACAAGUGAGCUCAAGUUUAGAAGAAGUAAUUUUUUGUGAAACAUAACCUUUUUUUUGUGCAGGCAACUGCAACGAGUAAAGUGCAAAUGGAUUUGAUAGAGAUGCUUCAUAUCCCUAGAUGCGUCAAGUUUGUCAGCACUGUUAACAGGCCCAACCUUUACUAUAAGGUAUGCUUUAGUUUACUUUUCUGGAUACAACCAUGAGAACGUCAUGCAGAAGCAUGCAGGAUGGGAAAAUGGGAUUAACUAGUUUACAUGUUCGCCAUGUAGGUAUAUGAGAAAUCAUCAGUUGGGAAGGUUGUUAUUGAUGAGAUCGCAAAUUUCAUAACCGAAUCAUAUCCAAAUAAAGAAUCUGGAAUUGUGUAUUGUUUUUCUAGGAAGGAAUGCGAACAGGUUUUGUGGACUGACCCAUGGAUGCUUUCAUUUCUAUUAUUUGCUGAGAUGUAAACUACUGUCUGGCUAUCCAAUAGCUGUAUCUCCCCAUUUGGUUUUAAUGUGUGUUUUACAAUUUACAUUCUUUCAGAGUUUACGCUAUCUAAUAGGUCAUAGAGUUCUGCUUUAUUUUUAUCAUGAUUAAACUGUACACUAGUUGACUCAUGAAUGCUUGAAAAGUUGAAUAUAUCGAAUCUUGGUAAGAGGGACUACCUCCGUCCAGGUUUAUAAGGCCUAUAUUGGGUUUUGUGCCAAAUUUUGACCAAGAAUUAUACAAAUAUCAUUUAAGAUGUGUAUAUAAAAGUUAUAUCAUUAGAAAAAGUUUUCCAAUAUGAAUCCAACGAUAUCUUUUUUGUGUCACGAUAAACUUGUAUUACUAAUGUAAUUUUUGGUCAAAGUUUGGCAUAAAAUUCUGUGCGGGCCUUACAUACCCGGACGGAGGGAGUAAUUAAUUAGGGAUAGAAGUGUUACAGUAGAUAAGCAUUUUCGUAAAUUAUAUAAUGGUGAGUUUCAUAUGCUAAUGCGAGUUCUUGUUGAUAGAUCUGCCAGUCAAACGUGACUCAUUCUUGUAGUUUAAAGUAGCGAUUCAUUUUCUGCAGUCUGGACCAGCGUCAUUUGCCUAGGUCCUCCCUCUGAUUUUGUUAAAGUCGUGCGCUUUACUGACAAACAGGUUGCGAAAGAACUGCGUGAAAGGGGUAUUGCAGCAGAUUAUUAUCAUGCAGAUAUGGAUUCUGUUGCUCGUGAGAAAGUUCAUAUGCGGUGUGUUCAAAACUGUAUUCAUUUUUUCUGAGCUUAAUUUUCUCUACUCAGAUCAGUUUCUGUUAUUCCCAUUACGAAUAAACCAUAUGCUUAUAACUACAUAAGGAUAGACCUUAGAUAGUUAAAGAUGUGUUCGGAGAAUUCCGCUAAUCGACUUCAUGAGUCUCCCUGUGUGAAAAAUCCUAACACCUACGAUUUCUUCAAAUGUCAUGCUGAUAGUGAUAGAUUUCUCCAGAAGUUGAUGGCAUUACUCAUUGUACUCAUUCAGGAUCCAUAAAACAAAGGUGACCUCUGUGUUCAUAUCUGAAAGAUAAAAUGAAUUUUGUAUAAGUAGCACCAGCUUGGGUGAAAACUCAAAACCUGCUGGCUUUUGGAGGGACACACAACUCUCCUGACAGCCAUUUAUUUGGGAAGCAAAUGACGUAGAUUUUUUUUCUGGCUAUACUUUUCUAUGAAAAAUAGAUAGGAAUUAUAUCUGAAUUAAAGUCUACAGUCUAAUAAAACUAUGCUUGAUAACCGCGUGUCCAACUGAUCAACCACUCAUCGGAAUAGUGUACCAAUGAGCACGAGUAGCAUGUUCCUGGCCUGAAUCCUAAGCUGGAAAUUAUAAAGUUGUGUUCAUGAACACAUUUUGUGUGUUGGGAGCAUUCAAAUAUUGAUGCAAGAAUAAUUCUAAAAAUUAAUAUUUCAUUUAGCUCCACUUUAGUGCAUUGAUUUUGCUGUUUGUAAAUCUGUAUUUAAACCUGCAUAUGAGCUCUUUUGUCUCUUAUGGGCCUAUAACUAGUCCACUGUUAAUUUUCAACAGUUGGAGUAAAAGCAAAUCACAGGUCAUUGUUGGAACAGUACGUGUUCUCUUUUAUCUCUCUCAUACACACAGACACCAGUAUCUCCCCCCCCCCCCCCCCCCCCAGGGCAUCUAACAUGUCUAUUACAUUAUGUAGGUGGCAUUUGGAAUGGGAAUCAACAAACCAGACGGUGCGUUCAGUUUUGGACUUGCAUCAUAAUGACAUGUGCUUGCUCAAGACAUAGAUUCACACUUAAUUAACCUAACAUAUGCCCCCACCCAACUCCUCACUCUAUGUUCCGAUUUAUCUAUUUCUUGGAUUGUCGAUAGUAGUAGGCUCGCCACAAUCUCGACACCUCUCUCCUGCCAUGUGUCCUCUACAUCUCCUCUCCUGACACAGCAGUGGCACCAUUAAAUUGAGGGAAUAAUGCAAGGGAGUCAAGGCCGAUGCUAACGGAGAGGGAGGGAGGGCCAGGGACCUGUUGGGGUGGUAGGACAGACAGAAAGUGUGCAACAGCCUAGAGCCCUAGAGGCAGUGCAGAGGUUGGACGGAAGCCAAUGGCACCAACCAGCACAACUGCAGUGUGGUUGGGAGCUGAGGCCAGUGCAGAUGGAGAGAUAAGAGGGUAGUUGAGCACAGUACGAUUCCUCGCUGUCUAGUGUUGUGUUACUGUAGUAUGCAUGCACUGUUUGCGUAGGACCGCCGGUGCUGCGUUAGUUGGAAGUAGAGAAGAUUUGAGUUAGAUUAUCGUUAACUAUAGAGUUACAUUGGAUUGUAGAGAGUUUGGGUUAGGUUGAAUUGCCAGAAAUUAGGCCUCUUUGAUUCAAAUACAUUUCGAAGGAGUUUGUAGGAUUUCUCAAUUCCAAGGGAACUCUCUAGAGUAUGGAAUAAUCUCUUGGAAAAAUUCAUAUGGCUCACGGGUUUCUAUGUUUUCUUAUGGUAUGGAAUAUUGCAUUUCCCCCCUAUUCCUGCUAUUUUGGAAUAUUGUGAAUCAAAGAGGACCUAGAGUUUGAAUUAUGUUGGAUUGAUAGAGAUAAGAGUUUGGGUUAUAUUGGAUUGUUAGAUAUAGAUUUGACUCUUAGGACACUAUCGUCACACUAGAGGUAGCCAAAAGGCGUGGAAGUUGAAUCACUUAUACAUGUCUGUCGGUAUUAAAUGUCUUUCCGAGAUCAUUGACCUGCUUGCACCCCCAUCACAAAUUGCGGGACCUAUGGUGCGAUGCUCUUUGCUACUCAUCUCCUUUGUCUUCAGAAUCUUAUUAAUUGCUACUGUAUUAUAGAUUCAUGUUCUAGCCUAGUAAGAGAUGAUUAGCCGUCCCAUUUAGUCAUUUAUUACAUGUGUUAAUGCCUUUUAAAUUUUCCUAGAAUAUUUGCACAUGGAUUCUCUUGUAUAACCCUGAUUAAUAGGGCCUCCCAGUGGUGUACUAAUUGCUGAGUCUGAAGCUGUUGGACUAGUGAUAUACAGCAUUUAGGAUUAUUAUGUUUGCUGCUAUAUUAAAUACUAAUGUCAUUUUGUCUCUGCAGUCAGGUUUGUGGUUCAUCAUAGCCUUAGCAAGUCUAUGGAGACAUACUACCAGGUACAUCUAAUGAUCCAAAUAUCAUGUUCUUCAGUUGUCUGACCAUUUGGUCCCUUAAAAUAGACUUCCGCGACUUCAGGAAAGUGGUCGGGCAGGGAGAGAUGGACUACCUUCAGAAUGUGUUUUGUACUACCGGCCUGGUGACGUUCCUCGCCAGGUGAGGCUAGAGCAUCUUCUUUUUAAUUUGUUGUGAGUUCCUAUUGUGAUAAUCCGACAUCCCUCUUUUUAUGUUCAAUGAACAGAGUUCGAUGGUCUUCUAUGAGAACUGUGGCCUGCAAAAUCUGUAUGACAUAGUACGAUAUUGUCAGGUAUAUUUUGCAAUCCUGACAGUGUGGAUCUUUAGAGCGCCAGAAAAUAGUAGAAACUACUCUUAACACUCUGUUUUCUUUACUUGGCCCCGUCCACAUGAAUUUCAUUGUUUUUGGUCUUUUUGGUACUAACAACCGUAACUCAAGCUGUGCUAUCUGUUAAAUAACACAUGGUCUGGGUAUUUGGAGAUAAUAUGAGUAUGAUAUUUUAAAAGCAACAUACAAGAACCUAUUACGUACCAUUCAGUUCUUCAUUAAUUCAAGCUCUACAGUAUCCCCUUGCCUGAGCGGGUAGAAAAGGAUAAUGAUUUUCAUUAAUGUUGUGCUACAUUUUGUUGCUUCUAGUCAUGUUGUGUGUUUGGCAGUAAUAUCUGAGUACAAGCUUCUUUAUUUUCCCCAGUCUAAGAAAAGCUGUCGUCGUGGCGCUUUCUUUCAACAUUUUGGAGAGGCUGUGCAGGAAUGCAACGGUAUUUUCUCAUUACUUGCGUUUGUCAAUAUCUGAACUUUCUGAAUAUUGAUAUUUACACAGUUUCUUGCAGGAAUGUGUGACAACUGUGCUUCUAGUAUUGAGCUCAAGGACAUCGAUGCUACCUGUAUGAUGAUUUUACUAUUGACACUGAAUGAGAUACUCUUCAAUUUAUAGCAAAUAAGUCUUGUGUGUGUAACUGUUUGUAUUUCCUCUUUAAUGCCAUGAUUGGUUAUGCGACUUCUUGUUCAGAUCAUACCAAAAUCAUCGUUUCACUUCUCCAAGACAUGCAACAUAAUGACCAGAGAGCUACAUUGCUGCAGCUGGUGGAUAAGUUCAAGACAAAGUGGAAACAUUCAGGUAAAUGUCCUCAACUAACUAUAUGUCUAUAUCGUUUUCUGAUUCCAGUAAUUUGGUGCAUUCUGCAUUUCAUGUUCUUUGCCUGGGUAAUGUGUCAUCACACCAGAUUCUUUAAGUAUCUCCCUUCAUCUGAGCUGACAUUACAAUUGCGAAUGCUCAAGCAGGUUGUUCAAAUGAAGCAGUUGAUCUUAAGAAGGAAGAAAUUGAGCAGUUGAUAGUUCAACUUAUAAUUGACCGUGUUUUGGUAUGUCAUUUCAAAUCUAAUGUUGGUUGAUGAAUACCUAAUGUUGUUCCUACUGGACUCCCUUUUUUGCAACAGUUUACACCAAUACCAAAUUUCUAUUUAUCUAUUCAAAGUUCUAUAAGAACUACUUCAGCUAGGGUUAUGAAAACCAGUCGUGGCUAAAGUUACAGGAUCUGCAAAAAUGCCAGAACUUAUCAGCUCUGUUUAUUCUUGCUUUGCUUUUUUUUAUAUAUAUAUACCUUAUAACUGUUCUGUAUCUUCACCACCUUGUAGAGUAGCUGUUUAAGGCAGAAGGCACAAUAAAAUAAAAUCAGAUACUAGUUGAUGUAGUUCCUGCCACCAGCUGGGGAAAAUCAUAACUCGGCAUUCAUUGGACUAACUGGGUUUUGGCAUUUGGGAGACCUGGCUGCAAAGCUGCAAGGAGCACCCCAUGGACCAAACAUCCCAUCAGAAACCUGGGGAUUGAGUAGACAUAAGAUAGAGAGCAUGAUGCGGAACAUAUUAAGUGCUACAGUUUCUGUUGAAAAUUAUUGAAUCAACAGAACACCGCUUAAUGCUCUUAACUAAACAAUUGGUCAACACUUUGCACAUCUGCAGCCUCUUGUUGCAUCUACAUUGUGGUGAAUAAACUAUAUUGUGCCACUGCGUUUUUGCAAGUUAAACAUUAGAGUUUGAGCAGUUAAACAUCUUCCAUUAUUUGCUUCGAUGUCCUGGAAAAGCAACAAUAGCUAAAACUCAUCCUUUUCCCUCGUAGAAAGAAGAAUUUCAGCAUACAGCAUAUACAACCAAUGCAUAUGUUGCCCUAGGACCACUGUGGAAGCUAGCAUUGCAAGGUAAUUGAUUUUUCUCUCCCACAAACUUUCCAUUUACUUUACCAUUGUUGCAUGGACGUCCUUGAGUACAUCAUGUAAAGGUACAAGCACCACUGUUUCCUUUGUUGCGAAAUGGAUCGUGAAGUUCCUUAUGCAUACUGCUAACUUCCGGCCUUUGAUCUAAUACUCUUCCAUGCCUUUCAACAUGGUAUGUUCAUAAGUUUUGUGUAGUAUGAUUGUGAAUAUGUUCUUACCAUACAGGAAACAGACCGGUGAAGCUAACUGGUGCCAUUCACUCUCAAGAUACUGGUGGUGCAUCCAAAAGUACAAAGCGUAGUCAGAUGAGCAAUUUGGAAGCUAAGCUUGAUGACCUGCGUAGAACUAUCUCUUCUGAUAAUGGAGGCAUAUUCCCCCAUGCAGUUCUGUCCACGCAGCAAAUUUCCCUGCUAAGCAGCCAUAAACCAACCACUAUAGCCGAGGUGAGUUUUGGUUGAACCUGUUUAUCCUUGUUAUUGUAAGACAGUAAGAGUGUAUCUCCAACAUGGACACACCUUUUCUAUCCUUUGCAGCUUGAAAAUCUUAUAGGGAAGGUAAAGGCGGACAAGUACGGCAGUGAUAUCAUUGAGGUGAUGCAGUCAGAAAUCGACGGUGGAAAGGACAGUGGUGAGAAUGGAGCUAAAAGGCAAAAGAAGGAUAAAGAUGUUGUUUUAGUUGAGAGUAGCGAGGAGGAAGCCUAACAUCAGCAUGGAUAAGUCGAGUGUGCAUGGUAACAUAAAUUUGAUUUGAUAGUUGCUGCUGCUGCUGCAUUAUGCCUUUGUUCUUGUUCUUUCUGUAAUAGCUGAAAUGGAAUGCCCUUGUGCCCACACCUCAUUGAUUUUAUUCUUAUUUUCUGUUAAUCGAUGCUUCGUUUUUAUUUACUUACCAUAUGACUUAAUGUUUCAGGUUGUGAAAUGUUUACACAAAUCACCCUACACGAGCAGAGUGGAAACAAAUAGUAUUAGCAAACAAGGAUGAGUGACCGGCAACGUGACAGUAGAUUUAGCGAGUUGCUUCUACUGUUCAACCGUAAUAUUGAUUCUCUAGGGGACAUACAUUGUUGAUUUGUAGUGCUGACCUGAAUGUUUCAUGUGAAAGCUGGCUUCCAUAUUUUGGUCUGAAUUUUUUUCCAAAACAUUUCUGGCCGUUUAAUUGAUUUGCUUUGGAUUACCGGGCUGAACAAGGAUCACCUGCUGCAUGUCGGUCUGGGGUUCACUUUUUGUAUUAUGGGAGCUGACGGUGGUUUCUCGUCAGUGAGCAAAGUGGAUUUGAUAGUUCCGGACGAGUUUAAGAAAUUGUCAUGACAGAGCCUUCAAUCAACAAUAAAUACUAGUAUGUGGCUUGUGACCAUGUUUUUGAAUACGAAUGUAAUGGCCAUGGUAUCAGUUUUAUCUCACAGAAAUUGCAUCCUCCUAACCAUGUAAUAGCGAGAACUAGCGAGAAGCAAACGUGUACUCUGCCAUUGCUUCUUGCACAAGGAUUGUUGUCCUGGUCAAGUGAAGCUCCAUUUUGCCCGGAAAAUACAGACCUUACGGAUGACUGACUGUCUAUGUUUGUACCAGUGCUACUAGACAGUACGGCUUGGUUUCUAAAAAGAGUAACGCUGAUCUUCAACCAAGAUGAACAUAAAAACAAUGAGAAUAGAUGAUACUCCGCAGUACAUGACUGAUUACUCCAUACAUGACUGAUGCAGGAAGAAAAAGACACAUGACAUGAUGCAAGGAAAGAUUGGAUUCGAGAGAGUUUAUUAAGGAAGGAUCCUCCAGACGGCUAGCCUAGUUGGAGCGGGCGGCGUAGCGCUCGACCUUGGGGUCGUUGAGGUUGAUCCCCACCAUGGCCUCGCCGAGCCCAGCGCUGACGUUGGCCAGGAUCUCCGGGUCGCUGUAGUGCGUCACGGCCUCCACAAUGGCGCGAGCACGCCUCGCCGGAUCGCCGCUCUUGAAUAUCCCGGAGCCGACGAAGACGCCAUCGCACCCCAGCUGCAUCAUGAGCGCCGCGUCGGCCGGCGUGGCGACGCCGCCGGCCGCGAACUGCACGACGGGGAGGCGGCCGAGCUGCUUGGUCUGCAUGACGAGGUCGUAGGGCGCGGCGAUGCUCUUGGCGUAGGCGAAGACCUCGUCGUCGUCCAUGCUCCGGAGCGCGCGGACGUCGCCCAUGACGGAGCGGACGUGGCGGACGGCCUCGACGACGUUCCCCGUCCCGGCCUCCCCCUUGGUGCGGACCAUGGCGGCGCCCUCCCGGAUCCGGCGGAGCGCCUCGCCAAGGUCGCGGCAGCCGCACACGAAGGGGACGCGGAAGUUGUGCUUGUUGAUGUGGUGCGCCUCGUCUGCGACGGUGAGCACCUCGCUCUCGUCCACGUAGUCCACGCCCACGGCCUCCAGGAUCUGGGCCUCCACGAAGUGCCCGAUGCGGGCUUUCGCCAUGACCGGGAUGGUGACGGCGCGCUUGAUGUCGCGGAUGAGGGCCGGGUCCGACAUCCGGGCCACGCCGCCCUGCGCGCGGAUGUCGGCGGGGACGCGCUCCAGGGCCAUCACGGCGCACGCCCCGGCCUCCUCCGCCAGCCGCGCCUGCUCCGCGGUCACCACGUCCAUGAUCACGCCGCCGCGGAGCAUCUGGGCCAGGCCCACCUUGACGGAGAAGGUGGCGGCGGAGGCGGGCUUGGAGGACGGCUCCACCACCACCUUGUUGUUGUUGCCGUACAGGGUCACCACGCCGUCGGAAGCCAUUGACUCGAUUUGAUUGAGCUCCGAUCCGCCGCCGCAAUUCCUUCCUUGCUGCUGUGUGGUAUGUAUUGGGGGAUUUGGGGUUUGAGGGUUCGGUCUGUGGGUGGAUGAGGGAGCUACCUAGACUUACUAGAAGGAUGUGGAUGCUUCGAUUCUGUCUCAACAGAAGAGGAAGGGAACGGAGUGGAGAAAGUGACAACUUGCAAUUGGGCUAAACGCGAUUGUAACGGGCCCCUUCCUUCCGGCCCAACAAUCUGUUUCCAUUUCCGUUGACAUCUCAACAAUUUCUCAAAAAAAAAAAGUUAACACCUCAACAGAACCAAGUACUCCCAGGCACGCAACGGAGUAUGUAUGCAUGCACAGAACGUAUCAAGAAAAAUGUCAUGAUUCAAACAUUCAGCUCAAUUCAACUCAACAGAUUUAUUAUUGAUUUAGGACGGCAAGUCGAUGGAAGGCGAAAUUCUUAUAAUGUUCUCCCAGGCAUCCAUCACAUGAAUUUCAGACCACCAGCACACAAUAUCAACAUCAUUCAUACAGAAGAGAGAGGUAAUGCUGAUCUUGCUCUUCAUUUCAGUCCCAUUGUAUUUUCCUGUGGAAGGUCCACUGGGACGGGUUGAUGGUGGACUGGCCGCUGGAGGCGACAAGGUCGUAGGGAGAGUCCUCGUCAAACUCGGUCGGCAUCGCCUUCCAGUGCAGGCCCCACUCUGCAGCAUCAUCCUUGAGAACCCUCAGGAUCUCUUCCACCACUAGGUUGCUCCCCUCUUCCGACAAAUGCAGCCCAUCCCUGCAAAAUUUACACAUUCUGUCAAUCAACUCCUUUAAUUUCUUCUCACCCUAGCAGCAUAACUUGUAACGAAACACAAGCCAGAAGGGAGCUACAAGAAGAUGAAUGGACUUCCAAACAAACAAAAGAACUCACGUAAAGCACGCCGUGGCCCAGUCAUCCCGUUUCUGAAUGGCGUUCCAGAGAUCGACGCACUUGAGGUCCAUCUCCUUGCACACAGAUAUGCAUGCUUCGGAGUAGAGACGGCAGGUUUCGUUGGUCCGCACGAUCUCGCUCAGCGCUGUGCUUGUCGAUUUCCGGAGUGUCUCCUCAUUGAGCGGUGGGCAGCUCAGGAAGAUCACGCGGGUCUUGUCCGAGAGGCUCUUGAGGUGCUCCGCUAUCUUUUUCAUGUUGUUUAUGUACUCCUCAAGUGGCACAUGAGGUCCAAGCCCAGAAGGGUGUGCAGCAAUUGAAUCAUUGCCACCAAAGUAAACUAUUACCAAGCUAGGUUGCACUGCUGAAUCCUAUUUAAUUAACAGAGAGUUAAAUUGCAUCCAAAUCAACAAUUUAAACAGGAAAAGGAGAGUCUACUAGCUAAGUUAAAACACAGAGUCAUAAUGUUAGCUUGUUGCAUCAAUGACACUGCCUUUUCAUCUACAAAAUCCGGUAUAUAUUAGCUAGCUGGUCUAAGGAAAGAAUAAAUGGGAUAACCUUGGGGAAAACUUUGUCAAUGACUUGAAGUGCCCGCCUUGAGUUCCAGCCAAUAUACCCUCUCAGAACAAUAUCAGCCUGAAUGAGUUUUAAGAUAAGACACACACGCAUUAGUCAAGUUAGACAAUAUUUUUGUUAGUACCGGUUCAUGGCCAUGUCCAAAAGAUGGCCUAUGGCUAUAUAUUCUUCCUCCUGAUCUCUUUUCAAAGUGUAACAUCAUAGUCAGGUUAGUUUUCCUCCUUGUUCCAUUUUUGUCUUCAUUUUUUUUUCUUGUGUUUCACUGAAUAUAUUUUCUCUCUCAAACACACUAGUGGCGUGUCAUUUUCAUUAAGAUUUAAGAAGAAGGCGCGAGAAGUGCAAAGUACAAAAGGCAACCGAAAACAGGAAAAUGAAAGCUAGGAAAGCCAGAAAAAAGCUAAAAGAAAACUGCACAAAACAGGAGCUAUACAGCGGCCAAAGGCCAAGCACACAACUGGGAGAUCAGUCCAGGGGGCGCGCAUGGAGCACGUUUCCCUGAAUGUAAAUGUGUUGAAUCGACACACUGGACACUAUCAAUACACUCUCUGUUGAAGAUAACCCAAAUUAUUCUGUAAGAUGAUCUGUCUUCAGUUUUGUAGAACUGCCGCAUUUUUUGUGCCAUUUUCAUAUAUAUUCUAAAUGUUCUGACUAUCAAGGCUGACAUACAGUUUAGGCUACAUAACCUUAUACUUGAUAUUCCGCUGCUGUGUGUUUUUCAAAUCUAUCAUAACCUUAUAAGUAUUAAACUCAAAUCCAUGUAAGUGUGCUGUAUAAUGUGUGCAAAAAAAAGUGUGUUCUAUAAAAAGGAACCACGGAAAUAUUCUCCCACAAAGAACACAGAAAGCAUAGUAAGGCAGCAGAUUGCGGACGCCAUACCCAGGCAUCAAGGAGGGAAUCAAGUGGUAAAACAAUAUCUAUAUUACUUGUAUUAUCUUGUUCGUUCGUUACUUGUGAAGAAGUAGGUGCAUUUUUUUUUGCGGGUAAAAAAGAGGUAGGUGCAUUGUGUCUGAGUGAAGCAUGGAGUUGUGGGAACAUAGUAAAUACGAGGGUGUUGCUGUUUUGAGGAGGAGAUGCAUGCAACAGGUGAACAAAAGGCACCUGACUCCAAUUAUAUGUCAGUGACAGCAUACAAUUGCAUAGUUUUUUCCAGUGAAUUGAACAACCUAUAGUCAACACGAUGACUGAGAAAUUGAGGGCCUUCUCGGACGACGGAAAUUGAACAUCAUAGAAAUAUGAUAAAAAUGAGAAGCUGUUUGUUGCAUCACAAGAAAAACUCAAGAACAUUUGUUGGUGAUCAGGUGCAUGUCACGGUUGUUACUUGUAAAGGUCUGAGUGUCUGACCGUAUCUUUUGAAAUUGGGGCGCAAAAUUUCUUAAAUUAAUUAAAAAAGAGAAAUGCUAGCAUUAAUCAAUAGAAAGAAACUAUCAGCACCACUUUCUUUUCUGAGGAAAUGCAAAAGCUUUGUGGCUGAGUGCAAGGUUUGGUGGACUCAAAUGAUAACGAUAGAUUAUUUUGAUAACAUAAAGUUGAGACAUACACAGCUUUUUCAGGUGGUCCCACUCCCAGGUAAUAAUGGUGUAUACCAAAUUGCCAUAAAGGCCUCCCAUACAUGAGCAGCCAAAUGAAUAGAGGGAUCUGGCCACGCUGAUUGCGUGGGUCACUCCGCUAGUUUUUGCAACAAUACGAUGAAUCCAAAGAGACGUUCGUUGGCAGAGUUACAAAGGCAGAGUUGGAGUGCUUAAUCAAUUCGUAAAAAAGAAUAUCAUCAUAGUCCGUAUUAAAAACAGAGAAGCACGGAAGAGAUCGAGUUGAAUAUGCAUUCGUAGAGGGAGAUCAUCCUCAAUUUCCUUAAAAAGAGUGGUGUGAUUUGGAAUCAGAUCGACAGAAAGGAAGCAGGGGGAGGAGAGAAUUAAGGGGUGGUUACCUUGCGGGCGUAGAUGUCGGCGAGAGUGGCGCCCCAUCCGCCGUUGCUGAAGCUGUACUGCACGAUGGAGGAGCCGAAGAGGACGAACACCGGCCGGCCUGCUGCACGGCCAAUCAUCGCCGCCCGCUCUAGAUUGCUAGCUGCUCGCCGACCGCGCCCCGACCUUGCUGAUUUGAUCUGACCUAAGCUGGCUAGCGACGCUGGGAGACAAAGGUUGAGUUGAGAGCAGCUGGCGGCGGGCCUUUGGCUUUGCCCGGCUGAGAGACAAAAGUGUUUGUUUGGUGAUAUCACAAGUAGAUUGGACGGAGGCCAUGCACUUGUGGUUCCUUUCUUCCUGGUACGAUUCUAAUAUAGCUAACCUAGCUGCUGGUACAGUGGGGAGAGAUUAAAAGGAGCAGCAAGCAACAUUGUGCUGAGAAUUCUAGGUGGAUUGUUAUUGCACUUUUUUUUCUAAAAAAAGGAGGGUGCACCACCUCUGGUCUUCGGCCUCUGCCUCGAUUAACGUCGAUAUCCAUUUUUCUCUUAUUUUUUUUAAGGAUAGAAUAACGUCCGUUAAAUCCUGAAAUAAUACAGGAAAAUGUGACACCCAUAUGUCAAGUUUAGGAUUUGGAUUUGAAUGGACUGAGUUCCACCAUAAAGAACCAAGCCAUUUUCUCUUAUUUUUUAAACCAAAGGUGUGCAUUAUUCGCUCAUUAAUCCAAUGAAGACUAAUAUUACCACUGCAGUAGUAUCACCGAUCAAUCACGCCCUGCCACUGUCGUACCAUUUCCAUCAGUUUUUGCAACUAGAAAAGAAAGAAAGAAGCAAAUAAUUGCAAGCACCUACGUGAUGGAGUACGUACUGUACAGUACACCAUUCAAUUGGUGGUCUCCAGGCUCCAACCACCUCCCUCUGCUGGCGCGGCCUACGUUAUUAUGUCAGCUCUCAGGAGCUCAUCACUUCUUCUUCGUCGCCAUUCAAUUCCCAAAACAUACCAGCAGUUGCAAGAUCAUUUACUUACUUGCCGGCAUCCUCCCUGACCUGUGACCUCCCACCAUACUCUCCUCCUCACUCGCUCACCAUUAAUCAUAAAAUCAUUCAUUGCCUAUCACAGAGAUGCAUCUGCAUCUAUAUGUAGGCACUGCAACUUUAAUUGUUUUGCUUCUUUCCUGCGCCCAGCCCACUGUUGGUUGCUUCUCAUCGCUCGAAGUGGUCACCCAUCUUUACUUUGGCUAUUUUUAACACGAAGACGAAGUAAUGUAUUAAAUUUUUUGUUGAUUAAGUUGCACCAUGGAGGAACAGGCAUUUCGUGAUUUAACGUCGAUUUAGGCCAAUCAAAUAAGCACAAUGGAUUCCGGCUGAUCCAUAAAAAGUGUCGCUCAUUAUGUACUAAGUGGACGACAUUUUUUUAUAAAUCGAGUAUAGCAAAUCAGAUGAAUAAGAAUACAAUAGCAUCAUGGCGGAUCCACCUUGUAGUCACGGGGGAUAAUGCCCCCAUUCAAUUAUGUUAUAUCAUUGUAAAUUUUAGAUUCCCACCAUUGAUACCCACUCUAAUUUAAAUUAUAGCCGCUUAAGAAUGUUAAAAGUGACCCCUCUUAAUUGUUCCCCUGGCGAUUAUCAUUCUCAGUCAAGAAAGUAAAAUGCUAGAUUUUGUGAUUUUAAAAGAGUGAAAUACACCAGAGUGAAUGCACAAUUUAGUCCAUGAACUCAAAAAAUCCUAAACUGAUAUUAGUGUAACACUUGGGUGCAAAAAUAGUUUGAUGUGGUUAAUUCCAGCAACGUCGGCUUAAGCCAGGAUCAUGGGUUGUUGUUGGGGUUUCUCGGAAGAGUUUUUGCAAAUAAUUAACAGCAACUUGUGGAUGAUUAUUUUAUUGUUUUGUUAAUUUAACAGUAUCCUGCAAAGGGUUAUGUUAACACCCCCCCCCCCCCCGCCAGAAACCCCACUAGUAACCCGCAGUCUUGGUUUGAGCUGACGUGGCUGCCACCGCCGCCGAAAUUAAUCCCGCUGAACCGUUUUUGGACCUAAGUGUUACACUAGUAUCAGUUUAGGGCUUUAUGCUUGCGUUUUCUGAGUUCAUGGAUUAAAAUGUGCAUUCGCUCCGAGUUUAUAGACUAGGGGUGUAUUUCACUCAUUUUAAAAUACUGCUUCCUCCGAUCCAAAUUAUUUGUUGCAACAGUUUUCGAAAUGAACGAAUGUACACAUUGAAAACGCAAAAUUGAGAUAAUCAAUUUGGAUAGGAGGAAUAUUAUUAUGCACUAGUUAAGUGCCCGUGCGUUGCAAUGGAAUGAAAAAUAAAAUGUACAAAGAAUAUAUAUCAAAAUGGCAUUUUUUCAACAAACUUCAACAAUGUAUAACCAUGUCAUGACAAGCAUCAGCCUCUUCCUAUUGCUUUCCCCUCUCGAUGACCAUCAAAUGUAAACUGUAGUGUAACAAUCAAAUUUAUUAAGCUAACACAGCACUUCAAUGGAGUUGCUUGUCUUAGCACCAAAUAUUGGUCGGUCAAAACUUAAAGCUGCUACCUAUGUCAGAUCUUCGGUAGCACAAAUACUAAGAAACAGCAUAGAAAGAGCUUGAGAAAAUAUCACAAAACCACAACCGUUGUGUCCUUCUUAUCACUUAACCACAACUUCAGGAUAUUUUAUCCAAAAACCACAACCGCAUGACUUAAUUGCCUCCGGCCUCUCUUAACAGCAAAACUGACAAGCCUGACCCACGUGUAAGUGUCUGAUGGUCAUGUUGUUCGAUGCCGGUCCGCUGGUCCAUGACAGGGUUGAAGCACUUGUUCACUCCAGCACGCCCAUCGCCACCGCCAUGGCCGUCGUCGCCUUCUCCUGCGCCUGGAAGGUCUUGAGCGUCUCUCGCUCCCACGCCUCCUGCACGCACCGCAGCAGCGGCUUGCCUGACAUGAGAACGAGCUUCUCCGAUGGCGUCGGCGGCUGGUGCUGAGGCUUUGAGGAGCCGCAUGCAAGGGAGGAGAAGGACAGGAGCGACAUGGUGGUUUUGCAGCAGUUGCAGUGGACGCUAGACUCGGUGAAGAGGUCGGAGGCAAUUAGGCCACACAUAAAAUUCCCAGAAGUUGUGUUUAAGUGAUAAGAAGGAUGCAACGGUUGUGGUUUUGCGAUAUUUUCUCAAAGAGCUUGAUGGCCAUAGAACAGCCAAGGUACAUGAUUGGAGGUAAAAACAUCCAAAAAUGAAUGAUCAAAAUAAGUGUUUGUUAGCGCUAUAACAAUCUAGAUUUUACAUGAAGAGCGCCUUGCUUUUACAUUUCUAAUGUCCUAUCAAACGAACAAAGUUCAAGCAUUAAAAGAAAACUAAAAUGGCUGGUUCAGUAAAAAUAAUAUCAACACAUAAUGAAACAAUUCUAACAGUUUCCUGAUGAUAUAUCCAAAACAUCAGUAAUUGAUUUAUGUUUAGGUGGACCUCAAGAGCUUGACAACCUACUGAUAAAAUAUGGUUGAGCCAACAUCAAACAUACAGUCUCCCUCCUAAUUGGAGCAAGUAUCUUCACUGGACAAUUUAGAAAAAAGUCUCCCACCGCGACCUUAGUAGCAUCUGCUUACAUAAUCCACACAAAUUGAAUAAGGAUAAUACUGAUCGAAGUUGAGAUGGGUACAUGCAAAUGAAGAGAUGAUGACAAAGAGGCAACGACGACCUGUUGGAAAUAUGCCCUAGAGGAAAUAAUAAAUUUGUUAUUAUCAUAUUUCAUUGUUCUUGAUAAAUGUUUAUUGCCCAUGCUAUAAUUGUAUUGAUUGGAAACUCAAAUACAUGUGUGGAUAAAUAAACAAAUACCAUGUCCCUAAUACGCCUCUACUAGAUUAGCUCGUUGAUUAAAGAUGGUUAAGAUUUCCUAACCAUAGACAUGUGUUGUCAUUUAAUAACGAGAUCAUAUCAUUAGGAGAAUGAUGUGAUGGACAGACCUAAACCUAAACAUAGCUUUUGAUCGUGUCACUUAAGUUUAAGUUGCUUAUGUUUUAUUAUGUCAAGUAUUAUUUCUUUAGACCAUGAGAUCAUGCCACUCCCUAGUACCGGAAGAAUACUUUGUGGGCAUCAACCGUCAUCUCGUAACUGGGUGAUCAUAAAGGUGUUUUUCAGGUAUCCCAGAAGGUGCUUGUUGGGUUGUAUGGAUCAAGACUGGGAUUUGUCACUCCUUGUGACGGAGAGAUAUCUCUGGGCCCUCUCGGUAAUAUAACAUCCUAAUGAGCUUGCAAGCAUGCGACUAAUGUGUUUAGUUGCGGGGGUAUUAUAUUACGGAACGAGUAAAGAGAACUUGCCGGUAACGAGAUUAAACUAGGUAUGGCAAUACCGACGAUCAAAUCUCGGGCAAGUAAUAUAUCGCGAGACAAAGAGAAUUGGAUACUGGAUUAAUUGAAUCCUCGACAUAGUGGUUCAACCGAUGAGAUCUUCGUGGAAUAUGUGGGAACUAUUAUGGACAUCCAGGUCCCGCUAUUGGUUAUUGAUAUUUGAUCAUGUCCACAUGUUCUCGAACCCGUAGGGUCACACACUUAACGUUUCAUGUUGCUUGGGUUAGAUGAGAUAAAUGAUGAUGAUAUCGAAUUAUGAUUCGGAGUCUUGGAUGGGAUCCUAGACGCAACGAGGAGCUCCGGAAUGUUCCGGAGAUAAAGAUUUAUAUAUGGAAAGUUGUUUUCAGGGUUCUGGAAAGUUUGGAAUAUUUCCCGGUUUUGACCGGGAAGCUUCUAGAAGGUUCCGGAGGGAUCCGGAGGGUUCCACCUUGAGGCCCACCUAUCCCUGGGCUAAAUGGGCCUGUGAGGGAGCACCCUGGCCUUAAUGGGCCGAGGGGCUAGCCCACAGGGCCCAUGCGGCCAGGAGGAGAGUCCUGGCCGCGGGAGAGUCCUGGCCGCAUGAGAGUCCUGGCCGGCCACGCCUCCUCUACCCCUAUAUAAAUAGAAGGGGGGGCAAGGGAGAGAGACACCCCAACCUUUCAGUUGGAUCUCUCUCCCCUGAGCCCUCCUCUCCUCCUCUUCUCACGCGCACGGCGUAGCCCUGCCCGUGAGAAUAUUCACCAUAGUCACCACGCCGUCGUGCUGCCGGGAUCUCGUCUACCUCUCCCUCUCGCUUGCUGGAUCGAGGAAGGAGGAGACAACGUGAAGCUGAACGUGUGGAUACCAAGGAGGUGCUGUCUGUUCGGCACUGAGAUUGAUCUCAUUGAAAGUUCCACUACACCAACAACGAUCUCGUGAUCGUAACGCUUAGCGGUCUACGAGGGUAUGGUGUUCAUGAUCCCUCUCGUUACAUACAUCUAGUAUAUAUAUUCUUGGGUUUUCUUCCGCACUUCUCGUAGGAAAUUUUUUUGUUUCCUAUGCAACGAACCUAACACGACCAUGGUAAUGCGGAUAAGGAAGAUCGAAUAAUCAGAAUAGAGCCUGACCUAAACUAACCAUAUCGCUCAAUAAAUAUUUAGGCAUCAAUUGGAAAAUCUUGAAUUUCACCUGCUCAAAAGCAUGACGAUGACGGCUUCACGACACCUUAACUGUUUCAAAUUAAACUGCCAUGGUGGCCCUGCGGCAGGAGUUAGUUACGUUGUUUCCUUUCAUAGCAUAGGAUCCCCACCGUGUUUGUUAGGCAGGGGAUCGAUCUUCCUUUAUUUCCGUUGAGCAUGAGCGCACAAACGAUUGUGUGAGCCGUGCAUGUAGGAUCCAUCGCUCGCAUGAUUUGCCGUGGGAUGGCGCGGCCAGUCCGGAUUGUGGGUUCGAUCUGUGUGAUGAAUAAAAGGAGAACAGAAACAGAAAAGCAGCUAAGUCGUUCGCUGCGCAAAAACCUCCCAGAGUCCAGUGUGUUUCUUCCUCUUGUGACUAGCCGGAGCUGUCAAUUGGUAUCAGAGCCACCGUAGGCCCUGAUGUUGCAUGCCCAAGUUCAUGCCGAAGACAAGCGGUGCUGCCGACGGCUACAAGACCAUCUAAGAAAUCAAAGUGGUAAAAUAUGUUCAGUUAUGCAGCUCUGUACAAAAAGAAUUUGCCUUUUAGAACCAUAAGGAUCUCUCUGAAGUUUGAAACCUGAAAGUGUCAUUUGCUGAUCAAUCUACAAUCAAAUGCCUAUGUUAGAAUUGUGGGAGACUCAGUCUAAGUAUUAAUUAGAAGGCCAUGCUUGGGAUGGGAAGUAUUGCAACAUUAGGUGUAAAACUUUGAGCUUGAAGCUUAGAUAUAAAAGAACAAAGACAUGGAAUAAUUUUGGUCGCUGAGACAUAUGCAACCUCAAAACAAUUGAAACAAAAGGUGUGAUAAACUAUAGUAAUUAAUUUUAUCAUUUUGCAGAUGUUUCUAGAGAACCUCCACUCUGUAAAUAGUUUUAUCAUUCACGUAAGAUUACCUUUGUAUAAGAAUGCCCAUCAUCCUUUACAAAAUCAAUCUUCACUCAUGGAAAAAUUAAUAUCUUGUAUCCACAAUAAGGAUAUACCUCUAGCUUUUCCCAAGGUAAACUACUCCACGAGGGAAGGUUGGAGGCGGACAGUUGAGGGUGCGGAGGCUCAACGUCCCUGCAGACGGGGAUCAAGAGGUCCGGGUGUGGAUCCUCUCAAGGAGCAGGUUGAGGUACAUCGAAACCUUUUUGAAGCACUAUGAUGGUACAUCGAAAGUUUUAUUUAGCGUUACUCUCCAACAAUGUUAUAUCUCAGGCCCACAAGUAGUUUUUUGCAUUCUAGGCCAAGAAUUAAUGGAGGAUACCUGAAGAUUUUUCUUUCCACAAUGUGAUAUAACUGGUGCAUAGAUCCUCCUUGGCUCUUCCAAAAAUAUCAUCUUCAGGUAUGUAUGCCUCCUUCAAAUAUCAUGUUAUUUACAUACUUGCAUCAGACCAAGACCGAGGACAACACUCAAUGCGAAAACAAAAAUUUGCUAAGCUAAGAAAAUACCUUGCUUCAUGGAAAAGCCUACAGGAGCCAAGUCAAAAUUGUCAGUUUGCAAAGCCUGGAACCAGAGUGGUGCAGUCAGUUGCAAAAAUCACAUGGCUUAACCCAAACUAACCUGCAAAUUUGAUUCUCUGUAGCAUUGCAAACUUUCUGCAUGUAAUUCAUCAGCAGCAGAUGGCAUAGAUACUGAAAGCGCAACGACUGCAGCUCCAUCUUCUCCUCUGCAUAUGCAGACGCGGAGGCCUAAACUUGUCGGCUUUCCUUGCAAACGACUACUCCCAUUCAGUAACCAAGUGCUUGGUAUUGUACUGUAGCUCAUCAACAAUUGUCGGUCGUUCAUGGUGAUUUCUUUUCACUCCACCAGCACCAUAGAAGGCAAACAACCAGCAGCAUCAGAUAAGUAUUCAGAUUGAAUACAUUCAUAUAGAACUUCCUUUGCACUUCGGCAUGUAAUUAGCUUGGAUCUGAUUGUGCAAAUCAAAUAUCUUUGAUAACAAAUACUCUCUCCGUCCCAUGUUAAGUGACUUUCUAUUACAUGUAUCUAGACGCUUUUUAGGCAUAGAUACAUCUAUAUUUUGGCAAACUUGAGUCACUUAAUAUGGGACAGAGAGAGUAAGAAUGAAGACAACAUAGUAGUUGCUAGCUACAAACUAACAAACGAAAAAGUAUUUGUUCGAGCAACACAACAGAUAAGAAUGUCUUUAUUUAGUUAUUACGUAUAUGUCACAAAGGGUACAACAGAAGCAAGCAUCUUCAAAUUCACCUCGGUGGUCUUGAGGAACACGCCGGUCACCAUCUGGGUCAGCCGUAGCCUUGCAAAAUCUUCUUGAUGUGCGGGUGCAAUUCUUCAGUGCUGCAAUCACAAAAAAUUUAACAAAUCAAUCAAUGUUAAUCCAUCACCAAGAGCCAAAGAAUAACAAAAGUAUCUGAAAAGCUUUCAAUUAUCUACCGACCCGGAGCUGCAGAUGGCGAAGAGGAGCUGGGCAUCGUCGUGGCUCUCAGCGGGACUGAACCUGGAGGCCUUGAGGCGGGUGUGCAUCCGCAGGAAGUCGAGCUCCUUGUCGCGGAACUUCCUGAUGAACUCCUCGGGCCACUCCUUGUUUAUAGAGUGUUCAAAAGUACAAUGGUUAAAAGCUUAUAAAUAUUCAGUGUUGUUGACUUCAGAAAAAUUCACGCUUAUCUUCCACUGAAUACCGAACAUGUUGUUCUAAACUUUCAACUUCAGUUUGCUGGUCCUGAAUGAAUAAAAGUAUUCGUAUGGGAAACUACCCAAUUUAUUUACCAAAAUAACCCAAUAAAGAACCCUAACCCUUCACUGCUAUAGCAUGAGAAUAUGACCAAGAAAGCAAGGAAUCGGUGGAGGGUUCAGACCUGAACAAUCUUGUGGCCCUUCCUCCUCCGCCCCGCUGGCUCCUCAGUUCCCUCAUUGUCGGGGGAGGUGGGGUCGUGCACAGGCUAGGCGGCCAGCGGGAGCAUCUGGGGCGGGCGAAUCUCGCAGACCGCUCCAUGUGUGUGGAAGCCUGCUGCCAGAUCCCAUCGAGGGGGUCCUUGAGGGAGUCCUUUCUUGAGAUGGGAGGUUGGCGACGCAAGCCCACUCUGCCUGCGCUGGAUUUGGAAGGGGCGACGGCGUCAUCCGGCGGGACCACAUCAGAUCUUGGCGGCGGAGGAGGGGAUGGCGGAGGCGCGCCGCAAGUGGAUGGGAGGCGGCGAUUUCGUUGGGGGUGGUGGUGAGGGGAGCGAGCGAUCAAUCGUGCAGGUGAGUAUGCAAUCCUUUCGGGUUCCGCAAAUUGCGCGUGCGUUGGCAAUCGGUGUAAUUUCAAUGAAAUUGACGAACAGACCAAACGUAUGUACCAAACUGUAAAUUAAGUAGUAAUAAAGAUACCAAAAUUAACACCCAUGGAUUUUUUUUAUUGGCCAAUUUGGAUAGGAGUAUGGUCUUGGACAACGCACCAAGGACGUGGUUGUGCAGUGGGCUUCGUCUCGUCGAGGACCGCCGCAACCGCGUCGCCGUCUCCGUCCUCUCCUCUCCCCGCCUACUCUUGCUACGCCUCCUGCCGCCCAAGCUCAAGACCCCUUGAUCUCCGCGCCGCAAUGUUCAAUCUACUAGCCGACGAUUGGCUCCUCGCCUCGCGCGCCCACCUCGACGACGCCGCCGCCCUCGGCUCCUUCCUCCUUCCUCGAGUGCUCCUGUUUGGUUUCUCCAGACUCCACCCACUCGCUCCAUCUCCUCGCGCACUACCUGCAGGUCUGUUUUUUCUUUUCUUUUCUUUUUCAGUUACAUUCUUCCUAGGGCAGAGAUUCAUCCCUAACUACUACUCCUACUCAUUAAAUAAAUUGGUCCCUGCUAAGUGCUAACUAGCAGCUCGUCUUAGAAUACAUUGAUCUGAGCAGGAAAGAUUCUCCUUCCUUCGGACAAAUCCUUGAUUUGUAAGCAUGUGCCAGCGUGAUUUUGCUUAGGCGGUUUAGCCACCGUUCCUGGGAUACUGACAGAAGUCCUGAACUCCUCAGUUCUUGGACACAGCGCAUACAUCAGGUGGCAGAUGCUGGACCAAUGCCAGGUAAAUUCCUGCUAAAAGUUUAUUUUGAACAAGAACAUUAAGAGGGGAGGAGACAGUGCAUACAUAUGUUUUUUUUGGGUCAAAUUAUGGCAGCAUCUUUUGGCGUACUACUUUCAUGGCACCAAUUCAUGCAAAGAUUACUUUCAUGUUACAGCCUGUAUGACUUCUGUUUAUCUUAUCUUAGAGAUAAUAUUAUAGACUAGCAGCCAAAUGGUCGCAAUCACAUACUCCCUCCGUGGCUCCGUCUCAUGUUAAGUGACUCAAAUUUGUCUAAAAAUGGACGUAUCUAUAUACUAAAAUACAUCUAGAUACAUGUAAUAUUUCGGCACUUAAUAUGGGAUGGAGGGAGUAUUUUUUGAGGUAUUCUCUUGCUUAACAGAAGUUAGGAAUGUUUCUUAAUGUCAAAAUUGUUUAAGAUCAGUUAUAGAUUUCUUAUAGACACCAAUGCUUUCCUUUCUAGGGAUCGGAAAUAAGGGGAUACUGAGCUUUCUAUAAUUCUCAAAUUCUUGAUCAUGUGACAUGACAACAUAUACAAUUCCAGUUAUCCUAAAAAAGGGAUAGUUAAUUGGACAGCAAAGCUAAUUGCAACCUGAGUGUCUUUUAUACAUUAUCUUGGCAAUCAAAUCAAGAGAAAAUCAAAAGGAGCAAGAAAAAUAUGUGGUACAAGGAGCCAUGCAAAACACACUGGGUAAAUCAACACCGUUUCAAGUCCCAGCAUCUGUUUUCCACAAUUAGACAAAAGCCAAUUACUGUUCUUGUAAUCAGCACUGGAGAAGAUCUUUGGGUGGUGGAAUUAGAGUCUCACUAGGUCUUUUCCCAUUCUCCACCACAAAGACCAUCUUGAGUCCCCAUGACGUGUGGACCUCGAAAUGGCAAUGCAUAAACCAAACACCUGGAACAUAACAAAUCAAGCAACUCGUGUUAGGAAACGGAAGGGUAUUUUUAACUUAAAAAUGUAGGAUUGAAAUCUGUACCUGGGUUGUCUGCCCUAAAUCUGAUUGCUGUCCAUCCGCCGGUAGGAACUCCAAUGGUGUUUCUCUCAAUGGGGUCAAUGAGGUUAAAUGUGGAAGGGGAAGUCUUGGGGCUGUAAUUCCCAAUACCUCUCCCAACCACAAAAAAGUUAAAACCAUGCAGAUGGAUUGGGUGGCUUUCCGUUGAUAUGAUCCCCGUAUCCUGGAGUAUGACCUGCACUGAAGCAUUGUAUGGAAGCCUAUAAACCCUGGUUCCAUUCAUAGUUCGAAGGUUUUUGGGGCCGCUUCCUGUGUAGUUGAACUUGUGUGGUGGUGUCGCUGGGAAAUCUUCUGUGAACACCCCUGGGAUGUUGUAAUAAUAUGCUUGGAGAAUUGGGGUGGAUGGCAUAACAAAUGUCAAAUUAUUGAUUGUGCCCACCACCCUUGUCCCAUUAAUGCAGUUCGGGCACGGGUUGACACCCACACCAAUGGUAAAGAAAAGCGAGUGGUCUACUGUCCGUGGUACAUUGGCUGGGUACUCCUUGGAGUUGAGGCUUCGCAGAGAAUCAGCGAACUUCGACGCGAUAAGGGUGGCAUUUUGUGGUGGUGGUUUGAAGAGAGUUAGGCGUGCUGCGGCGGAGACUGUGUUGGUGUAGUGCAAGAUAGCGGUGCCUGUUGUGUUGUCAACCUGUACAGGAGCAUCCAUGAAGGGAGAGAUUGAGAGAAGGUACCGCCCAGCACUUUGGUCAGCAGCGAGGAGGACGUUAGUGGUCUGGCCUGGAGUGAUGAGCAGGAUAUCGGUUUUAUAUGGCUUGGUAUAGACUGCAUCAACCUCAACCACUGUUAGUUUGUGCCCGGCAAUCUUGAAGAAUAGGUCAUCAUUCAGCGCAGCGUUGAUGAUCCGGAGCAUGUAUGUCUUGCCACUUUCAACAUUGAGCUUGAACCCAUCUGCCCAGAACAUACAUCAGGAAAGCUUUUUUGACUCUAUAGUAGAAAUAAAGCAUAGUGCAGUACUCUGCAAUAACAAUGCGUAGUAGCACCUUCGCCCAUAUACCUUGUGAGGAAGCACAAUCAGACAUUGGACCAGGGUGGCCAUUGAUAGUGUGCGAAUCGGAAAUAUUGGGUCCGACACCUAGUUGCAUCGCCCGGUUGAUUAUGGUUUCUAUGUCUGCUUUCCACCAUUCCCCUUCAGAAAUCAUCAAGUAGUAAGUGCUAAAUUGCUUAUUUUCAUUAACAAAAAAUUUAAGGAACAAUUAUACCUAUAUUACUAUACGUACCUAGGACAACGACUGCUUCCUUGUGAGGAGCAGGGAAGGGAUAGGGCACACCAAGCUUUGGGAGGAUGACAAUAGCACCAUGUACGGUAGCCCUUAGCCAGUUGAUAUGGGCAUGCCAGAGGAGUGUACCACGUUGGCCGGUAAUGGUGAAGUUAUACAGAAAGCUACUGCCUGGCUGGAUAGGGCACUGGGUAAUGUAGGCUGGUCCAUCGUACCACCCUGUUCGGAUCUGCCUUACCCCAUGCCUGAUUAUGACUUAGUUAGCAAGUUGUAUACACAUAUAUGUUGCAUACAUAUGAACUAUGACUAUUUUGUUUCUGUUUGCCUAUCAAAGGAAAGGAUGUGCCUUGUUCAAAAAAGGAAAAUAUGUGUGAUUCUUUAGAUAUAAUGUAUGUGUAAAAUUAUGUAGUUUUAACAUUAACUGAUGCAACUAUUUUCCUUCUUUUGGUUGCUUGCAGCAAACAGAGUAUGCAAAAAACUCUCGUAUGUGUUGAGGUUGUCUUUUAUAUGUGCAAGUGUGUGCACUUGCCACUUUGAGGCGGUGGUUUUCUGCUAUAUAUCGAGGUUGAAGCAUGGAAUGGUACUGGACUACUACUUACCAGUGGAUGGUAACGUUGUGAGGUACAUGAUUGACAACCUUGACAAGAACAUUAUCACCUUCUCUUGCAUAGAGGGUCGGCCCCGGGAACUUGCCGUUGACAGUGAGGAUAGUCUUGGUUGAGCAAAGCCGUGACAUCUUCCUCAUAACCACCUGCACAAGUCAAAUCAAGCUAAAUCAUCAUAGCAGCUUGAGUUCUGUAGCCGCCUAAAGGUGACUGUUUCGUCAUUUUUAUUGCCAUGUCUAAUUGCUGCAAUUUGGGAAGAAUGAAGUGAGCCCUAGCACACUGUGCAUGUUGGUUAUUGUCAUAGUGCAUCAAAAGGAGAAUACCAUGGUGAAGUGGCAACAAAUAAAGCACUGUACACUAAUAUCUGGUCAUAGAAAGAGUGGUGCAAUGGUUAUGUGCUAUACAACCCGUUACAUGCAGAAACUGAGUAAAUGCACAUUGUCAUUAGCUUAAUUAUCAUUCCUCCUGCAUGUUUGUCUUUUUUAUGAAUGCAUAUGUUUGUGUCAAGAUUCUCACAUUGAACUUGUAGUGUCGGGUGAUGGCGUGGACGCUGAGAGCCUGAAGCAGUACACAGUUGACCAUGACGACGAGAAGGAGCUGACUAAGAUGGCGAGGCAUGCUGCUUGACGGAGCUAGCUAGCUGAUCGGAGAUGAGGACGAUGAUGGAUUGAUGGCUUUGAGUGGAGGCAGCAGGCCUUGUUGCAUGGAAUGACAGGGCAACACAUGCUUUUAAUGGCCCAGGGGGGCUUGAUGUUGGGUUUGUAGCUGCCAUGUCGUUUUUAAUUUUAGGUGAGGAAUCCUUGCUUAACAAGGCUAGCCAGCUAGCUUUUCUAGAAAAUAUGCAAAUCACAGUUAAUUCUUCUUGUUUUUUACUUACAGAUAUGCAAAGUCCACAAAGGUAUAGCUCCCAGUUGCAUUUAGCUACCUUUGCUUCACACAGAUUAGGUAAUAUCCAUACUAUGUUAAUAUAGAUGUAGCCAUCUGCCUGCCAAUGUAUCUAUCUUUUUGGAUCUGGAGUUUGGUUCCAUGUACCUGUCCUCUGCUCACUAACAAUAGCACUUCUGCUGUUAACUAGCAGGCUAGCUAGUAGGAGUAUCAGUUAAUAAUAUAGCCUCUAUCUUUAAGUAACUUGCAGUUCACUUCCAUGUAUUUACAAGAGAACCCGUACCCACAUUGUGACAUUUGAUGUACUGCCACUGCCAUGCGUGUCUGAAUCUUUUAGCAUAGUAUAGAGAAGGCAAAAUAAACACAGUUAUUUUUGUGCUGAUGAAAAAUUACAUUAGCCGAAUGUGACAACUGACAAGUGAGCUAACUGAAAAGGUAAGUGCCGUGCAGAAUCUUUUAUACUCACGUAUCAGAUCACUAGCUAGAUCUUAUUAGGCUUAAUUGAUGCAUUUGGACUGAUAUACUAGCUAGUUUAAUUAGGCUGGUUGCAACUAUACAAUGUUUGUGCAGAAAAGGAACAAAUUAUGUAAUGGAUUGAUACCUGUAUGACCUGUAUGUGUCUCAGUCUUCAGGUGUACAGGGUGUGAAGGAGGGAGAUUGAGAGAUGGCAACAGCUUUUGGUUAUCUGGAAGUGAUGGAUCAUGGAUAUCUAUCUAGUAAGCGGUGCGUGUGCUUCAGCUUAAGCUUUUUCUUCCUUUUUCUAUUUUGGUUGAGCCUAACUGAACCACGGAUUGCACGUAUAGCAACAUUUUUGUCGAAUGUUUUGUGAUAUCUUUGAUUCAUUCAAAGCCAAGCUAGAGGUCAUGUAGUUCCACAUGACUCUGGCUUGCAUAUCUUAUCCAAGAACGAAUGCAGUAUUGUUUGGCUAGUAUUGCAUGCAGUUAACUGAAAAUGGAGGAUCACUGCACCCUAAUUCUGACCUGACAAUCAAAAAUAUUUGUAGUACUAUUAUUUAGAUCUAUACCACGAUUCUUUCUCGAGCACCGAGGAGAGGAUAUGAUAUACUUUUGAUGUAACCAACACAAAACUAGUUAGUUUCCCUUGCUGUCACUGUUACCCAACAACCUCGAAUAACGAUAGAUCUCCAUCUUCUUCUGUCCCUGUCUGCCUGAGAUUUUGUCAUUUUCUAACUGGUUCCCAAUGAAGCUUAGCUAAGAUACAUGCACGUUAUGAAACCAUGCCUUUAUAUAUUCAUUCAUUUCCAGUACAACCAAUGUCCGUCAGUGACAUGUCUCUUAACUAGUGCAUACUAGUCAUUGUCCAACAUUUUUUAGCUUCGAGCCAAGAGAACAAAAUCAGACACAAAUGAAAUUUACUAAACUUGAUAGACAGUAGCUAGGUUCAAGGGAACUUUCAGAAGGUUCCUGAUAAAACAUUUUUAUUUUGAGGAGUUUGCUAAAUCAAAUAAAUCCAAUGUAAUUGGUGAGUUGUGCUCCAAAGCCAGAAAGGAACGUGGAAUUUGAAUAUCGAUCUGAUUUUUCUUGAAACUGCAAGUGAGUGAGUCAGAGUGCUGCUGGGCCAAACGAAACAAAGAAAAGAAAAGAAAUCCUUGGAGAUGGUGAAAAGCAAAGGUGACGGACAAAGCAAAGGAGCUCCUAGAUUGCACUCGUAGAACGGGCAGAGAUAGACAGAUACUACUCACUAAGCUAUGCUUGUCACUCUGCUGCUGUCUGCUACAAAUAGAAUAGAAGAUACUAGGAGAUAGGAGUAAGAUAUACGACUGUAUAUACGUACACUUUUGUCUUGCUGCCUCCUUGGCUUCCGUUCCUUGCCUUACCUGCAGUAAGUCUUUCUUUUUCUUUCUAGAGAUUCGAUUAGGAUUUACUUUGUUUUUUGUUACUGGUCCCUCACAGUAUAUAUUUGUCUGCUCCAUAAUCUGUGCAUCCCUCACUUUGUCAUCUGUAUACUAAAGUGUUAGGGAGAGGAAAUCACUAUCAGUGCCAAAAUUACCAGAGUUGCAUUUUACUCGUUAGGAAAUUACUGCUCUUAAAUCUGGUAGAUUAAAUUUGGUGAAAGUUGUCUCAAAGGCACAACUUCAUGCUAAAAUUGGGAUUUAUACUUUCUUAACGUUCAAAUGAGGAACCACCAGCUAGUUAGCACCUAAAAUCUUAAUUAACUCCGUGUGCGCGCAUGACCGUUGUAGGAUUAAAGUAAUCAAUCAGAAGCAUAUCCAUCAGAUGCCAUGUGCUAGAUUCUUCUUAAUUAAUGUUUCAUGUAAAAUAAUACUACUAGUAUGGAAUUCCUGGUUUCUAAGACAUGAAUAUACAAACUCUACAAGAUUCAUGUCAUUUGUUAAUAUUCUUGUGCUGUUGCUUUCAGAUGGAAAUUAAUUGAAGACCCCAUCCAGACCAUGCUUUCAGAUGGACUACUAAUUAACAAUGAUGAUGCUGAAUAGCAAGGUCGACAGCAGCAUUAGCUAGCAGAAGCUGGUAGGUAGUACAAUCCAAAGCAAAGCAGGAGGAUCGAUCAUAAGAGAAAGUUUAGCAUGCAUGCAUGGAUGGAAUUAUCAUUCAUGAUGCACUGCCUUCUUGGGAAUAUUAUCAUUAUAUAUCCUGGUCCAUCCAGCUAAUAAUUUGCUAUGCCGAUGGCAUCGAUUUCACCUACCAAUCUAUUUAUUCCAACCUGUGUUUCACCGAUCGAGCUGUGUUUAUCAUUCCAUGACACUGGUCAGUUUUAAUUAGAGACUAAUUAAACUGUUGACAUGCCUUUUUCUUUUGGUACACAAUAAUACUGUGGCUUCAAUUGAGGCAUGUCUGUCUGUGUGUUCCAAAAUGGAUUUAGACAGACAUCUGUGAGUAAUGUGUGAAAUCAAAAUUUGAAUCACUGAAUGGAAACAAAGAAAGAAAUGUAUUUUCCUACAGUAUAGUUCUAGGGCUGUGCAACAUGACUAACAAGAGUCCAAGAUGGGGGAAAGUGUAAAGCAAAAGAGAGAUGGAGAGGGAGACAAGGGCAAGAAAAAGGAAAAGAAAAGGGUAAAGAGGUCACCAUCUCCCUGAUGAGGUCUGUCUCUUUUGCCACUGCUCUGCUCAGCAGAUCAGUCUUCUUCAGCUCAGCUCAGCUCAAAACACAGCACGACACACGCAACACAGCACAACAGGAGCAGAAGUAGGUUCUUCUCAAAAGGGAAUAGAGAUACAACAACGCAAGACAAGAGAGAGUCUUCCAUUCCAUAUUUCCAUCUCAUCUCUCUCCCCCAGAUCACACACGAGUUGAGGACUCUGAAAUUCAGUUCAGUAAAUGGAGCUGCCCUUGAUUGGUAACAAACAGAGUGAGGAAGUGAUUUGAGUGAGUGAGAGGGGAUGGAUCAGCCACCGCCGGUGCCCUCCAUCUGCGGCCUCCACCCGGGCAUCGCCGUCACCGGCUUCUGCUCCGCCUGCCUCCGGGAGCGGCUCGCCGGGCUCCACCCCGCCGACCCGGCGGAGCUCCGCCGCUGCAAGUCCUUCUCCUACGCCCGCUCCGCCGCCGCCUACUUCGAGCCGCAGCGCCGUUCCUGCGACGCCCGCGGCGCUGCCAUCUUCCACCACCAAGAUCUUCCGCCGGGUCAUGGGGAGGACGAGUUAGAAGAUGUUCCGCCGACAUCGACGGUGAGGCCGAUGAAAGAUCACAUCAGCCAAGAUUCCUCCAAGAAGACGACAUUCGGUGGGGGAUUGGGGAAGAAAUGGCAGGAAUGGCGCCGCAAGAGCAAGCUCAAGAAGCAGGGCCCCGCCGCCCCCGCAGUCGCCACCGCCGCAGCCAGCAGGGCCGCCAUUGACGCGCACCGUAGCUUCCGCGACACGCACUCCGAGGUCGCCAUCGGUCGGCGGUCCGUGGAUGUGGACAGCAGCCGCCUCUGGAUGGACGCCGGCCGCAUCUCGGUGGAUGAACCCCCGAGAGCUUCAUGGCAGCGCCUGCCUCCCACGGUGGAGGAUGCGCCCAUCCCACGCUCUGAUGGCCAAAUCCCAGUGGAGGAGGAAGACGAUGAUGCUGAGCCUGGCGGCUGUGCUCAGACGAGGGACUACUACUUGGACUCCUCAAGCUCCAGCAGGAGGCGCCGGAGCGUGGACCGUUCCUCCUUCUCCAGCCGCAAGUCAUUCUCUGAUACCAAUGACCUGCCCAGGGUGAUAGCUGCUGCCAAUGCCAAUGCCCGGGUUUCGCCAGCCAUUGGCGCAGAAUUCUACCAUUACCAUCAUCAUGCUCAGGGUCAGAGUGUUCUUGACCAUAACCAGCACUGGGAGCUGCAUGGACCGAAUUCGUAUUCUCUGCGGGAUGAUGAUAUGUCCGGGAGCUUUAAUUCGGCCGCAUUCCAAGAAGGCGUGCCUGUGCCUUUGCCGGCAAAGAAGUCCAACAAGUGGAUCAAGAACAUAUGGGGUCUCAUACAUAAGAAGAGCAGCACCAAGGAGUCUCAAGCUGCCAGUAUCGCCAACAGGUCAUUCUCUGAGACAUGGCCCGAGCUCCGUGCAAGGGGUUACAAUGGGCAGAUGCUCAGGUGCAACAGCAGCGUCAGCGCCAGAAGUUCUUUCAGUAACAGCGGAGCAGCAGUUGGCGCCGUGAACGGGAGGAGGAGGAGCAAUGCAGAAAUGCAUGUAAAUGGCUUAGGGAGGGCAAGGAAGGAUGAGGUUUUACUUGAGAGGAAUUUCAGUGCAAGGUACUCAACUUGCCCGGUUGAUAAUGGCGUGUUUCUUAAUCCAGUGGGAGGUAGUAGACGACAUCAGAAUGGAAUGUCCGGGAAGGGAAGGCCUGCUCGUUCAUCCAAUUCUUUGCCUCGGAGCGCACUUGGGAUGUACUGAUCUAGAAGUGAUAAAGGCAGGGGUUUAUGUUCUUUUUAAUCACCUUCUUAUGUGCCUUGGCUACAGACAUUGUGCAUAGCUUAUUGUUAGCUUAUAUGGAUGGUAGAAUCAUACUUUUGUUAGGCUCGGAAGAAAGGUCGUAAGCUGAGGGUGACUGCUGGAUUAUACCUUAUUUAGUCUUAUUUCCUUUUGGGCCUGGGGGAGUGGAGUAUAGCGUUUAACUUUACACCCUUUAAUCUUGUACAAGAUAUGCCAUAUCUAUGUUUGCUUUUGUCAUCUGAAUUCUAAGUUAGCACAUGCAUGGUUCUGGCAACAGUAGUCUUGUAACAAAAUCUGGAUGAAAUCUCUUGGGUGUUGUUUGAGAUUAACAGCAAGAAAGUCGCAGGAGGAUCUUUGUCAGGUUUUUUCUUCUGCUCCUGCUCUUGGAGGAGUCUUUUACCCCUCCAGAAAUCUGAUGCGUGUGCUUGUGCGUCUAUGUGUACUUAUAGAAUUGAAAUAUGUCUUCUUCUUUUUUGAGAAAAAUAUCCUAAAUUUAUGAAUUUUGCCGCAUACUUACAGAAUUGAAAUCCUUCCUUUAUUUUAAGAAAGAAAGUAGAGGAGAAUCACUAGCAGUUUCUGGGCAUCAAGCUCAUCAACUGGAUAUUGGGGUAGGGGGGACCAUACACAAACAUGAAUCUGGUCGAGUCAUUUGACCCACGAGAUUCACCUUUAUGAGUUCAUAUUCUAAUUUCGGUAGCAACAGUACUAGAAUAAGAAUAUCUACGAUGAACAUUUGCAGCUGGACGGAACUUGCGUGUAUUUGACAUAUACUACAUAAAAGCUAAAACUGGGCUGUUUAGUAACAGGAGCGCACAACAUUAUCAGAGGCAACCUCACCAGCUCAAAUCAGGCAAACAUUUGAUUCCAUGCCAUAACAAGAACAGACGCAGUACCCCUACAUUAGGUUACAUGAAUCAAUCGCACCAUGAAGAUGAAAUGCAGAUUCUAUUCUGAUUAACUAAUCUUUGUUUCUCGAUCCCUAUUCUGUUGUAUAGGAUGCAGCACGAGUAACCAGAACCGCAAACCUCGAUGGUCUCUAUCCUAACACACAAUACAGCAAAAUCUGUGGAUCAGCAUUGAAGCAACUGUGUCCACAGUCUGCUCUUCCCCGGGCAGGCCUUUGCCAACACCUCCUUCAGGCUCCCCAGCAACUCUAACCUCUCUUCCACCUUCCGUUUCACCACCGCAUCCUGCUGCAUAUGCAACAAGAACAUGUCACAACAUUAGUGGUAUUCUUCUCCUACUUUGACUAAAUGGCACACCAAAUCUAUAACAGUUCAACUUGGGUUUGUAAAAGAAGAGGUUGCCUUUGAUAUCCAAAGAAUGUAGAGAGCUGCAAGCUCCGCCUGGAUGCGAGUUUCGCCGAACUCAUCUCCAGGAGCAUCCAGACAGUCUGAGAGGAGUUGUAUCUCCUGGCCUAGGAAGAUGUCUGCCAGGGACUCCUCCUUUGACAGGCCGGUUUCCUCAUGGCUGAGCAAACGUUGCACCCACCACUGUGAGAGGAACCGACGAUGGGUCCACAAGGACUGCACAAACACAAGUAAAAUUUACCAAUCAAUCACAUUCCCCCUGUAAUAAUACCAUCUUUGAUUCACUCAGGCACAAACCUCUCUCCCUUGGUAGCGUCUGAUGAGCAUCUCAUUCCACCGCAGUUCCUCCUGUAAGAUCAUAUACAAAUAAAUCUCCACUAACAUGGCUUAGGAAACUAAUGUUCCAAAGCACAAGUGAAUUGCACACAUGCUCGUUUCUCCGCUUUGUAAUAAAUGCAUAAAUAAUGAAAAUAGAGGUAUAAAUUUGCCUUUAUAGAUGGCACAAGGAGCUUUAAGUAAUCUCAGCAACCAAAGUGAUUAUUAGCCUUGGAUGAAAUUCACCAUACCGUCCACAAUAGAUGAGCUUCUGACUCCCAGUGAAGGGUAUCUCCUCCGUUCUCUUCACUGCGGUUGUCUAGCAAGGCAAGAAGCAGGGACUGUAAAGAAGAGAUAACACACCAUUUAUGAAUACUGGCCAUGAAUCACACCAUGUAUGAAUGCGAGAACAAAUCCAAAAACAACCCACAUUUUUUAGCAAGGUGUCACUGAAAAGUUCUGAAACCGAUACACAAAUAUGCUGUGCAGUGCAGGCUCUCAAAAUAUGCCACAGAUCAAUAUGAUAAAUCAGCAGUAAGGUACAAAUUUUCCUUUACAGUAAGUAAUACUCCUUCCGAUCCAUCAAAAUGUCGCCCACUUAGUACAAAAUGGGCGACACUUUUUAUGGAUCAGAGGGAGUACUAAUAGUGCAAGCUACAGAAGUAAAGAAGGACCUAACCCUGCGGUAGUGAAAGCAGCAGUUGUCGGCAACAUGCAGCUCACCCCAUUUUAUUGACUUGUUCAACUCAUCCAGCACCUUGAAGAAACAAAAAUUAGAUGCAAGUGGUGAUAGGAGAGUCUAGAACAGUAAUGGACAAGAUUAAACCUAUGCUUGCCAUGGUAGUGCUCAGAAGUCCACAUACAAGUUUAAGAAUGAGAGACAAGGAAUUUAAUCAGUUAUAGUUUAUUAUUUAUGGUCACCUGUUUUGGUUUCAUGUAAGGAAUAAGCCAGCAUCGAUGCCUCCAUGCACGGUAGUUCAUCUUUGAUUUCUGCAAAUGGGGCAAAGUAAGGGACCACCUCAGUGGCAAUCGAGUGAAAAAAAUUGUAAAUCGCACUCGGUUUUCAAAAAAAUGCCGUUGAACAAAAAUAAAAUUGCAGUACACAACAAAAAAGUGCAAUUGACUUGCACAAAGUGCAAAUAAAUCAGAUCAUGGGUUCAAACCAUGAUAAUCCUUUCUUAUUCCCAAAACCAUAGCCUGCAUGAAUCUCUGUUCAGAUCCAACGGCUGAAAAAUCGAGUGUGCUCUAAAUUUUUUUCAAUGGAAUGUGAACUAGCACAUCCGGUAAACUAAGACUAUCUUCUCGCACACUGUAUCUAGGUACUUGAAUGUGUCUACGAGAUUUAGUACCCGGACAGUUAGAAAGGAAAUAAUACAGUUGGUUGCGAAGAGUACAUAUUAAAACUCUGAAUAUAUGUAAUUAUUAUGACCUCUGCAAUCUGUUUGACUAGUACCGAUUCCUUGUCUAUAAUCUGUGGCAUAUCCUGGUGGCUUUGUGCAAGCUUUGUGAUGACCCAUCUCCUGUGGUAGAGGAAGUAGUUACUUAUGGUAGCACAAACAAACCUAGGGAAAUCAAUCAACAGUAAUUUACAGCAGCAGAAGAGAAGGCCGGGUUAUCUGUAUCUGACAAUGAAGGAGCUGCAGUACCUGUGACUCCAGGUGCUCUCAUUCUUCAGCGCAUAGGAGAGGAUCAAGGCACAGAACUGCAGCUCAGCUUCGAGUUGUGUGAGAUUAUGAUCGGCAGACAGCACUUUCUUCCUGCAAGAGAUAGAUGAUCUCUAGUGUAAACAAGACAAAAGGGCAGAGUAUCCAUGGUGAUAAAGGAUGGCAUCCCGCAUCCCUGUAUGUAUGUGUGUUACCUGGAAUUCCACGCAGUGAACGAGUCAGGGCAGAGUAUGAGCAGCGCCUUGCUAUGCAACAUGAUCAAGGCAGGAGCAUCGGCAGAUGGCGAUGUUGUUGCUGCUUUGGAGUGUGCCUGGCGUGCCGCGCGGUAGAGGUCGGGCAGGACGUGGGUGGAGAUGGCGAGCUUGUGGUCUGAGCACCACAAGUAUGGGGAUUUGUUGCUGCCGAGGAGCGGUAGUGAGUCCAUCUGCGUGGGAUGCAGGAACCCCACCUCGUCUCUGCCAUGCCAUGGAAUCGAUCAGGAAGGAGGAGAAGGAGGAGGUGUCACCAAUGGGGGAUUCCUUCCGGGAUUGGAUCUAGACCAAUGCGGGGAAAGAGAGAGAGAGAGGGAGGGGAAAUUCUUAGCUUACAUGUUGGGGUCGUCAUGGAGGAUUCGCUCAAAGUCGUGGAGGAGGAGAUCUCCUGCUCCUGCUCCCGAUUCCACCAUUCCGUCGGGGGUGGACUAUCGAGCAGCUCGACUCGUUAAGAGCAUCUCCAGGAGAAGCCCUGUCCCAUGCCCAAUAGCUAAAUAUAAGGAAUUUGGCCCAAAAUCAUCCUCGAGCAGAAGCCCCAUCCGGUUCCUCAUCUCCAGCCGUCCCCCAAAUCAGCCUCGGGGUUCCCCAUAUGGAGCAGAGCGAUCGGGGAUCCCUAUCCCCCAACCGUCGAGGUGAAUCUUCUCUCCCGCCGAUUCUUCUGUCCAGAUGCGUCCGCGCCUUUCUCCGUCGACGCUAAUUUCUUCCGUCCCCUGCUCUGCCGCCGUCGAUCUGAGUUGUGGCCGCCGUCGUUGGGGAUGGAGGGAGAGGGAGAGGUAGGGAGAGAGGCUCAGGAGAUGAAGCAGGACUGGCAACGCUGGACAGGCGGAGCAGAGGGCCGCGCGGUGCAGGGGGCAGAGGGGCGGCGGCGCUGGGCGGAGCACCGGCGGUCAGCGGCUCCGUGGGUGCGGGCGUGCACAGGGAGAGAAAGGAGAAGACCGGGUAGUGUAGUCUGGCUUGAGACUGACAGGUGGGCCAUGCUGAUUGAUCUUCGUUUUCUUCUUUAUACUUGGACGUUUUGGUGUUUGUAAAAUUUGUUUGAAGGCGAAGUAACCCGCUCUACGGUGUAAACUGUGAAAAAUUCAUCGAAAAAACUUCAAAAAAAUCACAUAUGUUAGAAAAGUGAUGUUUUAUAUAUGUGUAAAAUUUCAAGUCCAAACUCAAUUUCGUUUGGUAGCAGCGAAAAAUACAAAUUCUGCAUGAAUAGUGGUUUUUCAGUGUUGACACUAUUCAUUGUAAAUUUUUCUUUUUAAUUUCUCCCAAAUGCUUUUGAUUUUGAACUUGAAAUUUUCCAGGUUUGUAGAACAUCACAGUCCCAACAUAUGGUAUUUUCUUAGAAUUUUUUUGAAAUUUCUAAACGUGGUUUUUAUGGAGUUUGCACGGUUUGCACCGAAUUGAGGGUUUCAUCGGAUACUUCGCCUUGUUUGAAUGUCCGAACGAUGUCCGAUUUUGAUAAAAUUUAAGAAAAGGUUUAGAAUGGUGUUAUCCAUCUACAGCAAGAGCAAGUUUGAGAAAAGGUUUCAAAUAUAUGAUUUCAAAUAACUCAUUUGAAACAUUGAAGUUUAAAAAAUCGGUUGAAGAUAUAAAUAUAAUAUAGACAAGUGAAUUAUAGAGGAUGAGAUUUGGAGAAUCUGCUGAAGAGAGUUGAAAUUUGAGAGGGAGAUAUGGGAUAGGGAAUCCCUAUAUAUGAAAUUUGGGGGAUAAGAUUUGGGGCAUCUCUUGGAGUUGCUCUAAGGCUCGACUCGUUAAGGCUUGUGAUCGUUAAGGCUCAACUUUUUAACAUCGGAUUUAUAUGAAACUAGGUGGACAUGUAUAUGAAACUGCCUGGACAAAAAGGCACCAUGUUUCAUGUUAACAUCGGAUUUAAAAUUUCCAGAACAAAACUACACGUCACAAAACAGAUUCAUGCUUCCGCCACACAAACCACCGGAUCCAUCCGAGUGGAGUUGAGUUAUAGUUAAAACACGGUUUGCAUGUCGUAUAUGAGUUUAACAAGGAGACGGGACUAUGCAUGUGCUCAACACGUGAAGAGCAAAAAAAAAAAACUAAACAACAGUGUGCUCGAGUCCUCGAUAGGUAUUACAGGUGGCCAACGGGCCAGGAUGGGCCCGCAUCUGAAUGGGCUCAGCACGGUCCAAGCCCUUUUAGCCCGUUUAUAAGUGAGUCAUGCCAUGCCGGGCCGCUCCGGCAAAACCCAGCCAGGCCGGGCUCGUUUACCCCGACGCCCCCCCCCCCCAAAAGCCCACUUCCUGUAAUACCUUAAAAAAAUGAAAAAUACAAAAAUGUGCAAACUUUCAUAUGGGAAUAAAUUUGAUGGUUUCGGUUUUUAGAGAAACGGGGCGCUCGUGCGUGCUGGGCUGAGGAGAUGGAGCAGGGAAGAAGGAAGGCCCGGGGAAAAUAGAAGAGAGAGGGGGGAAGGCCCAGGGGAAAAGAGAUGAGGGCUGAGGAAAUGGACCGAAGAAAAAGAGAAGAGAGAGGGGAAAGACAUAGGGGAAAAGAGAUUAGAUGGGCCAGAGGAGAGGGAUGUAAACAAAAUAAAAAUUGUUAAACAGGCAGUGCUGGCCCGUGAGACCCAGGCGACGUGCAGGUGGGCUUUUUGAAAAUGUCCGGCCCGUUGGCUAGCUGUACUUGGUAUGCACAUUGAUUGGAGAGAUGCACCAUGUACGUACGAGACUUGCAUGGGAUUUCAACUAAUACCACAGUUCGCCAAAAAAAACUAAUACCGCAGCUAUAAAUAUAGAGAUCGCCAAACAACCACAGAUGAAAUGUUUCCAGAAUUAGAUUACAGGAGAUGAUCAAGUUUUCUAUUCUCUACCAAAACUUAUAGAGAAAUAAGAUAUCAAAUUAACUUUUUGGGUCCAGCUAGGAAACAGUUGGUCGAAAUCAUAAGCAAGACACAGGAUCUUUAUCUAAUGGUCAAAAUAAAUAAAUAAAGUUAAACCUCGUUAAAAUAGAAAGGUAACUCCGAAAUUGACUCGUAAGUAUCAGCUCCAUGAAACUAGCAACCCUAAGGUGGGCUAGUGUUGAUGAUAUUUGUGUUGGGUGGGUGUACAACAACUGAACUCUACAACAUUCGAGGAGACAAAAGCUUUUAAUUGUCAUCUUAUAUAUUAAAGUUAUAUAUUACUAAACAAUGAAACCAUGAAAGUUUUGAAGCAAGUAAAAAUACAAUUUAAAUUGCUAAGGAUCCAGUAGAUAACGAAAAAAUACAAGUUAUAAUGCCUAGAAUUCUAUUAUUUUUCAUAUACGCAUCUAGAAUUCCAUAUAUGGUUAAGUCGAGAGAUUCAACGUAUUAUUGGUCAUAUCCUAACAAAUAAAUUAAUCAAGAAGAUAGUAUACUUUAUGUAGGCUUCGUUUGGUUAUAGAUAUUGAGAGGCUCUGAAAUUGAAUUGGGUUCUUCAGAAAAUUAAAUUUAAAUUGAAUACCAAUUCCGUGGUUCUGAAUUGAAUUGGCUCUUGAAAUUCCAAUGAAACACCAAUUCCAAUUUCUUUUCUGGAUAUACAAAACUUAGAUUUGUAUAUUUAUAUAUAUAUAUAUAUAUGAGUAUGAAUCUAAUACAACAACUAGUUAAGUCUAAGUUCACACAAUUGUAUAUUUAUAUGUUAUUGUAAAUUCAAAAUUUAGAAUUGCACAAAAAAGAAUAUGUUGUUGUCUUUGGUUACACUAGGGAGGCUAGUCACCGCACUGCAACUCAUCGCGCCUCUAUCACUGCCCUUCCGCCGCUAUAGCCGUCGCCCUCGUGAUGCCACCACCCACCGUCGCGCCGGCCCCCACGACCCAAACCCUUAAGGAGCUCUGGAGCGACUUGACAACAUCCUGGCGUCUAUGAUGCCUGCUGAGGUGCGCAUCCGCCAGCAAGCCGAGAAAGCUGCGCAGGAUGAGCGCGUCAGGGCUGCAGCCGCGGAAAGCGUCAGAUCAGAAGCCGCUAACCGGCCUGCAAUGUUGGUGGUGGAAAGGGUGGAAGCCGCGACGUCCGCGCCAAAGCUCUAUCAGCCGUCAGGCCCGCAGCACGCUUGCGGGCGGCUCAACGAUACGUCAGCCGACUCGAACCGUGACUCGAAUCAUUCGUCAUGUGGGAACUCGCGUGUGCACCGGACUCUGAUGCCAAGUGUGCGGCGGAAGCACGAAUUAAAACACGCCUCAUAGUUGAAAGCACAACACCGGUUAGGUCCUGAAAUAAAUCCAACGAAAUGCGAGCACCCAUGUCAAUCGAAGUCUUGAACUUAGGUGGGCUGGUCCCACCACAAGGAACCAACCACCUGAGCUACGCCUAAUUCGCAAUGAAAAAUAUAAUAUGUUAGAAAUUUAGAAAUCAAUAAAAAAAACAUUGAUCAGCCAAUAUAUAUCAACCAACAAAGUGUCGUCACAGUUAGUCGGGCGUGUGUUGCUAAAUAACAACGGGUUGAUCAAAUGCUAUUUAUACAAUAUGAAAACACAUGUCACCAUCAGGUAUGACAAUUCCAUGAUUUUUGACUGUGCAGAACAAACAAUGACGAACUUCCUUCAUGCUUUCCUCCUCUCUUUGCUUCCUUUCACCACAAUGUUUAUCUCACUGUACAAGACUUAUUAGAGAGCAAAUCUUCUCCAAGCCUUUGUCCUGCGAAAUGAGACACAUGCACAAAGGUGUAAUUGUUAGUAGUGUACAUGUAUAUGGUUAAUAAAUUCCUCAUAUCUUCACUGGUGAAAUAUGAAUGCUUCCAACUUGUGAGAAAUAGUAAGAUUGAAAUCCAUAAAUGAUUUAGUGUGCUAGUACUGGCAAAAAACAUUUGAAGCUACAUCUGGACGAUUAGUUUACAUACAGAGUGAUUUCAUACUCCACUGUUGUUGUCAGAGCUUAUUUCAUUUCCCAAAAAGACUGCAUAUUAAGUGUCAAAUUCCUGGAAAGACAUCCCAUGUAAAAUAUUAGCAUACUAUAGAUUUACUUGUAAGAUGCCUAACAAACAUAGUACAAGGACACUGAUCUUUCUCUUGCAUUUAGUCUUAACAAGACAUAGAUCAUCAUAAAAUAAACAACACAAUAUGUACUUGUUUCUAAAGUCUCAUUGUCUCAUUCUCCCCUUAAAAAAGAGGAAGUUACAUUCUUACCACACUUAUUUUGUACUAUACGAUUGUCAGAAUUUCAUUCCACAAGUACAGACAAGAUUUUCCUUUGGAUACAUGCAAGAUUGAAAGUCCCGAACUGUGAAACCUGGUAUGCAAAUCGAGUUGAAGAAAAAGGCAUACUAUUUGUUUGUUGUACCAAGGUCUAUCAGAAUCUCCCACCGACAGCUUGUCAAGCUACUGCGCAAUUUUGAUAUGCCAAAUUAACAUUACAUAUCUUCAAAAGAAAGGUUAAUCUUCACGGUCAACCUAGGAGUAUUUGGGCCUGUUUGGAUUGAGCCCCAUUUAGCCCUGCCAAAUAUUGGCAUGACCAAAUCAAAGACAUGACCAAAAUAUUUGCAAGAUAUAGGUGUUUGGAUUGUAUUUGGUUUCAAGCCAAAUGACUUGCCAAAUAUUUGGCCACUUUAAUUGGUACUCACUCCGAUUCUAAAUUGUUGUCGAAAUAUUACAUGUAUCUAUACUCUUUUUAAGAAUAAAUACAUCCAUAUUUGGGCACAUUUGAGUCAAGAAUUUAGGAUCAGAGGGAGUCCUGCAUAAAACUAAUUAGAUGGUUCAUAGUUUAACAACUUAAAAGUUCAGCUUAGUAUGAGUCUUGCACUACUGAGCCCAAUGUGAUGUCAACCAUAUUCUUUAAGCACCGUCGAUGGUUGCAGUUUAAGGUUAAUUUGCAUGCAUAUUAAAGGGCAAGAUGACAGGCGCAAUGAAAUAAAUUAUAGCUAGAUGUACUGCAAUCCGGAAAAGAGAUUGCAAAGAGAAGUAUACUAAUCAAACACUAUACAAUAUGAUUAUUAUCUAGAAACACCAAGAAACAACGAUUUAGUAUGGAUACUUCAGAUCUGACAUCCAUACAUGGUGUUGUCCUGCCGAAAUUAAAUCCAAAUUGAUGAGUACAAGAUUGCCGUGGCACAUAAACCUGAAUAUUGGGACGUUCAAGUAAAACCCUACCUAAAAUAGCCAAGAAGAAAGUUAAUCACGCCACAUGUAAAGGGGAUCAAGGUGGGUCUGAGGGGAUUCUUGAGCUCUGUCCUUGGGGUGCGACUUGAAUCCUUGCAGAGAGUAGGAAGAAAAUAUGAGAUCGCCGUUCGCGGCCGCCGGAGCAGCGCCGAUUCACUCAGCCGGCUGGCCGACGGCAGCUGCACAUCUGAUGGCCUCCUCUCUCUGGUCCUUGCGGUGUAUAACUUGGGAGAGGAAACAAUGGAAGAGAAGAUUAACUCGGCCGGCGGAAGUGCGUGCAGCGGAGACCUGCGGCACCGUGGGAGAGCAGCGACGGGGCGGCGGGCGCUCGAAGGCAAGAGAGGAAGGCUUGAUGCCUUGAUCGGAAGAAGUGGUAGCUGCGUACGUGCGCAGUAAAAGGAUGGUCAGAUCGGGAGGCAGAGUGCAGUCUGACGGAAAUUAAUCACUACACUUACACAUCUAAAAAAAUUAGCAGACUAAAUCUCAGUGGUUAGAUCUGGUUUAGUGGGCCUAAUGGUUGGGUAUUGUGAGGUGGAAAUGCUUUGUGUACGUUUUGUGGGGUGGUUUUAGAAAAGAAGAUGUUGGUGCCUUUAUAAGUAUUCCAGUAGUCCGAAUGGUAACGGCGACGAAACCCGCCGGGUAGUGGCUGCCCAAACCUGUCCCCGCGGCCCUCAUCCCAAAUCCGUCGCCGUCCCCGGUCGCGGGUUUCGGUUUUCUCCCAGCCCCAUCUCCAUCGGGUUUUUCAUCCCCGUUGGGGAACCCGAACCCGCCAGCAUUUCAGCACCAAGGCAAAGUUUCAGCAGCAACAUGAAUGGAAAAAAACUCAUUUCAGUUCCAAAAUAAGACAAAACAAUAUAAUUUAGACACCAUUCACACAUAUAACAACAUCAUAUAGUUCUCACAUAUAACAUCAACAUUUGACACAUAUAAUAACACCAUUUGGGGUAGAAAUAUGGGUUGUAUCGGGCCAUUUUUAUGGGCCAUAUUGAAUUUUGGUGGGUUUCACGGGUACCGGGUUCGGGGAGUGCUGGAACGGGUUUGAACUCGUGAAACCCGCUGGGUUUCACUUUUGACCCAUGAACAAACCUGCGGAGAUUGAAUUUGACCCAAACCCGUCCCCUAAUGGGGUAAAAACCCGUGGGUCUUCGGGUUUCGCGGCCCCAUUGCCAUCUUGAUCCAGUAGAGAUGGAGGAAAAAGGUGCAGAGGCGGAGACGGGGCAGCUAGGGAUGCGGGAGGCUCCAGGUGGAGUAGAUGGGCGGGCAUUCUGGGAAGAAGAUAAAACAGAUGGACUACACCGGCAGGUGGAGAUGGCUAGCGGCUCCAAGAGGUGAGAUGGUUGGCGGCUGCAGCUAGUGGAGAUGGGUGCGGCUAGGAGGAGAUGGAUGGCGGCCCGAGAGAAGAUGAGUGCUUACUCGCGACGGGUGAGGCAUGAGUUGGCCGGCGGAGAAUGAGGAGCUUGCUCGCGACGGUUGAGGCAUGAGUUAGCCGGCAGAGAGUGAGGAGCUAGGUGCGCGACGGCUGCAUGUGGAGAUGGGGUGCAAAACUGAACGUGCACCAAAAUGUGACCCAAUUGAAGGAAGAGCUUAAUGUUCCAUUUCAUAUGGAAAUUGUGACCCCGUGUGCUUGGAGCAACUGAAAUGAUUUUAUCUUUGAGCAAAUUCAGCCAAACUUCUACAGAUGCCGAAGACUUUUCAAGUAGGAAACUUAAUCUUGUCUUCCAUAGAUCCAACAGAAAGAAAUAUGCUAAUUUCGAGACUUGGAUCUCAAAUUUUAGAUAACCUUUUUAUUUUUUGGGGUACUUCGCACCACCCCUGUACAGUUUUAUUUGCAAUAUAUGACAGUAGGUCUUUAACCUACUGUCUUUUCCCUCCAAAAGAAAAUGAAGUUACCACAUAAUCUGAUCGUCUAUAGAUUCCUAUGCAUAUGAUCAAUCUGAAGAUCGGUCGAGUAUAACAUCAAGAUAUUAUGUUCACGGGGGUCCACUGAUUUGGUUUGAUCCGAGGUGAUAUUGAUCAGAUCGGUGCACGAUUGAGAGGAGUCCCAAUGGUGGCCUAUGUUGCUAUCUCUGGAGUACAUACACUUAGGCAUCUCCAAGCGUGAGGCCAAUUUGUUCCUUCCAUUUGUCCAUUCUGUGGGAGAUAGAUGAGGGUGGAGAAAAUAUGAUGUUGUCCAAUGAGAGCACUCAUUUAUCCUUUUCAUUAGUCUUUGACAUGUGAGUCAGGUGGACAAGUGGACAAAUUUUGCACAAAUAAGAACAUCUUCUCAAAUUUGGGGAAGAAAUGAGGGAGAUGAACACAUAUUGGAGGAAGGGGGGAGGCCUCACUGGAUUGCAUUUUUUUUCCAAGAACCCCAAAUGGACAAAUGAGGAGGGUUUGGCUUGUGCCCUUGGAGAUACCCUUACAUCAUUUCAUUGUUAAAGGAGUCGUUUUCGUGAUGUGCAUUAAAAUCCUUGUCUAAUCCAGCGACGUCAGAGUGCACGUUUUUAUCCUUUGUUGAAAGUGUUGCUUCGGAAAAACUUAGUUGUUGCUAUAUUUUUAUUUUAUUUGUCGUAGUUAUCUUGUUGGUAGUUACUUCAUGUACUCUGUUUGUAGAAUGAUGUUUUGACCUGGCCUGACAUCUCCUUUAAUAAAUUAUGGUGGUGUGCAUCCUAGAUACACAGAGGCUAUGAAGUUUUACCUUUAUUUUCUUGAAAAAAAACAAAUAAACCAACUCUCAACUCUGAUAUAUCUUUCGAAAACAUUAACUCUUCUUUCUCCCAUUUUUAGGAAAAUGCAUGUAUGAAUUGAUGAAGCUCUUAAUUUUGGAUUCUCGUAGCUGGCUGAGCUAGCAAGAAGAGAAAAUGUUCCACAAAGCUGGCUAAGCAAUCAAGGAGAAAAUGGAAAGAAAAACCAGUGUGUGUAUAUGUACAUGAUUCAACCGCUAGUCACACGUACUCUAAAUAUCACAUGUUUGUGUUGUAUCUAUAUCCAUCUAAGGUUAGAUCGAUAUAUAUACAGGCCGGGAGUAUAUGUGGGGAGCUUACAUGAACUGAUGAGAAAUCGAUCUCAAUUACUUACUUGUGCGCCUUCUGUUUCCCCUUGUUACAUCGAUCAUGUGGGGAUAUCGAAGCAGCUGCAACCUCUAGGGUUUCAUUUCAUCGAACUGAUCGGUGAGAGGUGGCCGGUGUGCUGCCAUGAGAAAAUGAAGCUGCCAGAUGAUCUGCAGAUCGCCUGCACAGUUUCUCAUGCGUGCAUGUAAUCAAUCUGAAGAUCGAGUACACAGCACCAAGAUACACAUGUGGUGCGUGGAGUUCAGAUCAUGCUGGCAGCUUCAUCUACUUGUGGCGCACAAGCUAAUGAUCGAAUGGAAUGAACAUGAACACAUCGAUCUACGACCCUCAUAUAUACUUACCGGCCAUCGUCUCUCAUCCUUCAUGGAAAAGAGAUCAUAGAUAUGGAGAGAGAGCUGAGAGAGGUUAGGGGAAUGGGGGCUGGGAGAUGCUGGUACGGGGCUUAUGGCUUUUUAUGGAGCGCUUAAUCAUCCUCGCAAAUGGAAUGACGUCGACUCUUGGUUUGUUUGGUAGCCACGAAGCUGAUGCGGGCGCGAGAAUAAUAAUCCAAAGGUGGAGAACGGUCCCAAACCCAAAGGAAGGAAAAGAGAAUAACGGCAAGCAAGCAUGCUCAGUUGCUCACUCACUCACUCACCCACCAUAUGAAUAUGAUCCAAGCUAGCACGCGCGCGCCCGAGAUUAACAUAUGCAAAAAAGGCCGCAUAACGGCAUCAGCAUGCAUGCGCUGGAGCUUAAACUAUAUAUAUCCGCGCCUAGAUUUGGAGCUGCGUGAUCAUGCCUGGAACUCUUUCCAACCGGUAUUCGUGUACGCGUGUCGCCCUUUUGGCUACGAGUUCCAGAUGAGAUGACAGAGAUGUACUCCUUCCGUCUCAUAUUAAAUGAUUCAAAUUUAUCAAAAUAUGAAUGUAUCUAUGUAAAAAAACGUCUUAGAUACGGAGGGAAUACUCGUAAUUUGGUCUAACCUAUCAGCUCCUAACUGCUACUGCUAGUAACUUCGGUAGAUUUGGUUCAGGAUCUACCGUGGGGGCUAGUAGUGAGCAGACCAUGAAUCGACAAGUCAGUACGUUGGUGUCUAUGUCCCGGUGUGAAGUGAAGUCUGCACAAGUCUUGACGAGUACACCUGCCGUAUCCUCUGCAAACCGGCUGGAAAAGCACCACGCUGUAUCCUCUGCACAGCGGCUGAAAACAGACAAAGCUGAAUAAAUAGACCCAUCGCUCGCCACGGAUGGGACCGGAUGAAUACUAGUAGCAGUAUCUCCUGUAAUUAACAGCGCCACAACACGAUUUACACGCAAAAAUUCCGGACCAAGAACGAUCCUUCAUCCAGAAAGGUGCGAACAAUGGACUAAGAUCAUCAGAAUUCCAGAAAAUUGUAGUACUACCAUUAACAAUGAAGUUUACACUACGCGAUAUACCAUACAAUCUGUUCCGUCCAACCAGCAAUACAAUUAGUCUAUCGGUAUAAACUAGCACUACAAUAUACUAUAGUGUACAAUAGAGCUAUCAGCCUAUUACUAAAAUGGUUUUAUAGUCCCCUCAAAAUAAAAAUCAAACAAUUGGUAUACAGAUUCAAUGGUCAUGAAUUAUCGUGUAAGAGUGUUUGGCUUUACUGUUAAACUUAGAUGAUGAUUCAGAUUCUGCGUUUAUGCAUCAACAUAUCUAGGUCUCCUCGUCUCCGGCUCUGGCAUCCCAGAUUCAUCCUUCAUUCCUUCACUUAGCAGCUCCUCCCAGAAAUCGUCAGUCAGCUCGACCUCACCGCUCACCUGAUUCUGGCAACCUUUGUCAUCCUUCGUGCCCUUCCCAAUCCCCUGAAUGCUCAAUGCUAAAUUCUCCAGCUCAGAGAAUCCAGGCUGAUUUGGCACCGCGAAUUCCCUUGGCUCCGACAGGAUUGUCGACUUGUGUUGCUCGUUCUGAGUGGCCUCCCUGGGGCUGAGGAACGGGGCCAUGUCGAUGGACCGUCUCCUCUUCAAGGAAGCAUCGUCCUUCCAUUUAUCUUGUUGCUCGAUCAACUGAAGAAAUAAAUCAGGGUUCUGCAUUGCUCUUGCUAAGAAACCCAUCAUCUGGAGCUGCUUCUGCUCAGCAAGGUGUAGCCUCUCUUCCAUGGCUCGCAUGUCAGCUCUCGUGCUCUGCUGAUCAUGCCUUAGUUUUACCACCUCCGCAAGUAAGGCGUUCUUGUCACGCUUUAGUAUUUCAAUUUCCUCGUCCAUUCCGAACUGACCGACCUCGAGACAGGAUCCAAGGACCUGUUGUUGUGAUGAAGGGAGAUAAGGCAGUGGUUUCCUUCUCUUUAUCAUCUUUAGAAGCUGUCUCUGGCCCCUAAUGAAACCCUCAUUCGCAAAUUCCCAUCUGUCUGGAUCAAUCUUUCUGAAACCCUGCACGGUGCAGUAUAAGCAAAAUAACUAGUGUUAUUUCCAUAAACAAAAGAGUAGCAAAACAACUGCAGUUCGCUCAAGUCCACAAGCCUCGAACAGCAGAGCUCAACUUAAAUGGUAGGUUUCACAUGGUUUUUCGUCAAAAUUUAAGCAGUGAAGAAUAGUAGUAGUAUACUAUAUUGCUUGGUGGUGAUCAAACGAGUCUUCUAGAACAAAUAAGCAGGUUCUUGUAGCUUCAUCCAUUGUCUUGAUCCAUCUAGCUACACAGUAAGAAGUUGAAGAAAUAGCAUGUCAGAAAUUAAAUAUGUUUGUCAAGGAGAUACAGUCUAUUCAGUCUCCCAGCAUCUCCUAUUCUGGAUUAUUGAAAACAUUUCAGGAAGUAAGGUUCGAUGCACAUGCCUCUGGCAAAGGAUUUGUCACAACUCACAAGAACUCUUUUCCUUUGAAACCAAAAGGAUUCACCAUGUCAUCACGUAGACAUACAGUGGCAGUCUGGCAGAGAUAUAAGAGUUCUCCUAAAAUAGUAUCAUAGCUAUAAAAGUAUGUUGAAGAGGUCUAGCUAUCCUAAUCCCUCAAACAAGGGCCACGAACAUAUGAUUCCAGUCUGGAGUUCUGCUAAUUAUUAUACAUAAAAAAUCUCACAGAAAGUGAAAACAAUCACAGUAAGGAUCGCUUACUGUUGAUGCAAAGAAGAGUUACUAAAAGCUCUUCCUUUCAAAACGUGUUACUCUUCUUUCACAAUUUGAACCAAAUUAUCAAAUUGUACUAUACUUUCCAUCUUAGUCCUGUAUGACACUCAAGAAUCAGAUGCAUAUCGAUGUGACCAUGAACCAUGACACUAAACACAAAAAUAAGAAUUAUCUUCUAGAGGUUCUUUAGGAAAUUAUCUGCUAGACAAAAACUAUCCACAGUUCGCCGGUUGUUGCGUAUUCCAUCAUUGAUCGGUCAUUCUGAAAAAUGUGAACAUUGAACACGAGGUAGAGUCUUAAUCUUUCACUCAAGUAAUUCAGCGACAUAAAGAAACGAAUCGCUGCAAGUAGGUACAAUUCUUUCACAGAUAUCUAGACUGGACGCUGGUAGUGGUACUCCUCUUCGUUGCAGGAGUACAAUGCAAGAUAGUAGGGAAUUGGCGAAUUGCAGCAACAAAAAACGACUCGUGAGUGCAGGAUAACUGAACAAGUAUAAGUUGAGCAGCACGAGCCAGAUUAAGCAGAAGAAUCUGGAGGCUAGGAGAAGAGAUACUCACGUAGGUGUUGAGCUGGCGGACGAAGCUGGAGAAGUUGUUGUGCUUGAAGGAUCGCGGGAGCAGCACGGCGGCGAAGACGUGGGGGUCCCAGACGACGAAGCUGUUCCCGGCGCGGCCCCACGAGACGACGCCGUCGGUGGCCGGGUCCGCCACCAGGUCGAACGUCUUGGUCAGGAACGGCGGCGGGCCCGUCUCGUGCAGCCCCUCCAUCGGCCGCGGCGCCUCCUCUUCCUCCUCCGGCGACCACUCCUCCUUCACCCUCCCCGGCACCGGCAGCACUGCGUGCUCCAUCAUCCGCCCGUCGUGUGCGGAUCAAUCGCCCACCAAACAACCCCAAGGUGAAGGUGGGAUCUGAGUCGCCCGUUCUCGGAAAAACGGAAGAAUCCUGCGCGAGGAUCACAAGAACCAAAGGAAGAGUCAGAACUCUCACAAGCGCCUCGGCUCCGGCCUUUACGCGCGGGAGAGUGGGCGGCGGGCGCUGAUAAAUACCUAGUACGGGGGUGGCAAGAGGGCGCGUGGUUCAGGUAUCAGGAGAGGGGGGCGGAAGGUUCCAGGCCCGCGCGGCGCUUUUGUGGCCGGCUCGGAAGCUUCUGGAUGCCGGAGCCCGGGAUGUGGCUGACGUUGGUGCGCACGGCGCAAGUGGCAGGCGACCGCGAAUCGGCACUCGACAGGCAGAACCGACGGGCGACGGCGACAACUUUUUUGUGCCAUUUUUCUUUUCUCUGGUCUGAAUCCGGACGUCUCGGCGACAUUUUUGCGGAGGGCCUUGCGGAGAUCCUGAUUGGCUGCAAGUUGCCGCGAGCCAGAUAUUCUGCGCCGCCCUGGUACACGAAAGCUGGUUCUUUUUCCCGGGCUUUUUCGUGGAUUCUCUCACCCGACGGGGGAAAAAACUCUCAUCAUCGAAGUGCUGAUCACGCCUCAGUUGUUGGCACUCCUGCUAGUACGAAAUGUGUUACUUACUGGACUAUUAUCUCUUUUUUGUUGACAUUGUGUCUGAACAAUUUGUCGCUUUUGCAAACUGGAAUAAGGAAUGCUCAUCGACAUCCAUAAACUUUUUCAGUUCUGUAGGCAUCAACAGCACAAUGAUUGCAAAGAUUUUGUCCCCGCUGUGAGAUACGGCGAAACGGACGGGGGGCACUGCAUUAAUGGUACAAAGGUCAACAGGUGAACCACGAAAUGCAAUGGCACGAGAUUAGGUAGGAGGAAAUGAACACAGGUAUCCAAACAUUAUUCAGAUAUAAGAUGGGAUUUCGGACCACCAUAGCCAUCAGACACCACAAGUACAUUUGAUCGCCAUAAACAAACACCCUUGCUGACACUGAAAUGUGGGGUGUGUCCUUAUUAACUAAACACGGGCUUGCUAAGUUUUCAGGAAAGACUAUUAAACCGAUUUUUGUUCAGACUACCACUGUGUACUGAUACAGGAUGGUAGGAUUACAUUAUGACAGCCAAUCACACGUCUUAUUUGGUAUUUGGGGGGAGUAAUACAUACAGAAGAAACACUCAGCCUAGCAUUACAGAUGCCGUCAACGAGCUUCGACAGUUUGAUUCCCACCUCUGUUGAUAAUUUUGUCCACGUACUCCUUUCUGAAAUCAUGACACAGUUCCGUAAGUAGGGGCGAGAAAGACCAGUGAGAAGUGCAAGGGAAAUAGGCACAUAAGAACAGAGAAUAAGUCUUAGACCUCACAAAAUUACCUAGCUGGGAGAUGGUCAUGGGGGCGGUUGUACGGCGUCCAGACAGGCUCACCCACGAAGAGCCGCAUUGCCUGUGGAACAUUAUGAGUAAGAAGAAAAGGAAUAUCACAUCUCCAUAUUAGACCGGGAUGUUGCUUAUGAAUAACUGAACAUGGAUAUGGAAAAGAAUUUUAUGAAUAUGUGAUCAAUAAAAAGGCGCCACUUGUAUUGAAUUUCACAAAGACAGUAUCUAGUUGUGCGGUGAGACCAGAGAUUAGUAGCACUGUUGUGGGCUCAAAGAAUUGAAUCUACCAAUAAUCCAUACAAGUAAGUUACACACAGAUUGACAGAAGAAUACGUAGUCCAGUCAUUUUAAUUCAUUCACAUGUUGUGGAGACCAACACUUAUGGCAGGAGCAAAGGAAGAAAGUAAGGAUACCUUGAUGUAGUUGUCACUGUCCAGCGUAAAGCGGUGAUACAUUCCCGCAGGCAAAACAAUCAUGCCCCCUUUCUUCACUGCUAUACGAAUCCACUGUUCGUUUUGGUCCCUCACAUCGAAGUAUCCUUGACAACAUAAGAAAAACAAAUAGGUAAAGUAUGUAGAAAGAAUGCCGCCAUGAGUAUUACUGGAAAUAAAGCAGUUUAAAACCGUUCUUGUCUUCAAUGCCCGAAAAAAUUAUAAAGAAGGCACCUACCACUGCCCUCAAGACAAUAACGUAUCUCUUCGUCAGUAUGCAAGUGUUCUUCAAAGAAAUUCUUCAGCUUGGCCUCGUAGUUUGGUAACUUCUCUGGACACACGUCGCAUAUGUCCUGCAAAAGGAAAAACAUAACAUGUUUGUCACACUUGAUUGAUGUACUACUUGCUUAGCAUUUGAGCUUGCCAAUCAAAAUGAAAAUACGGAACAUUAAGUAGCCAACAAGGAUCAAUGACAAACCACAUAAGAGUAUCCCCUGGCCUCGCGGAUUUUCUUGAGGUUCUCAUCUUUCUCCCAGUCAUCAGCAUUUAGGCGCCAGCUUAUUACUCCUAACUCUGGGCAUUUGAAAUGUGCACCGAUUUAGCAUCCAGCAGGUUUAUCAGAGCUAGUUGUACUAGUGUUCACGCACAGACAACAGUGAAUAAUUUCAGCAGCAAAUGCACAGACCUGAAAGCUUGUCAAGAGGAAUGAACUCUUUGGGCUCACGAUGAUGAGGGAGCCUCUGGUCCUCUUCACUGUCAUCCAUGUACCAUCCUUGGAUGACCUCCUCCUUGCCAUCCUAAAUUAGUAAUGGCCAUUCAAAACAUUCUGUAUUAUUACAACACAUGAAGUAAAAUACAGCAAAAUGGCAACAUGAAUUAACUGUAAACAUCUAACAUACUCCCUCCGAUCCUAAAUUUUUGUUGUGGUUUUAGAAUUAAGGAUUGGAGGAGUAGUUUACAUUUUCCUUCCAUCGGCACUCAUCUUUGUCAAAACUGUGUAUGGGCCAUAAAUUUGUACUCGUGCAAAUGCAAUUAUGCAAUUUUGGAGGGAAAUGUUAACACAGGGAGAUGGAGAUGAUUUGGCAUGUGUUUGUUUAGGUUAACGUUCUUAAAAACAUGGGAGUUGUAUCAGACUGCAUCAAGCAAGCCCAAAUGACAACAAGUUUGGAGGGGACUCCUACUUCUAUAAUUCUAUUAUCACAAAGGAAAUGGAGUAUAUGAGAGCAAACCGUUCUCCAACGUAGAUGUAUUUUUUUUACAGCGAACUACUGUAGAUGUUUAUUCGAUGCCAUGAAAAAGUACAGACUAAAAGCAUUAAAUCUACACUAAUCUAGUCUAAAGAUUCACAUGUAUGUCCCCACCCUAAAAUCGUCAUAACUAGAGCAGACAGCGGCCGGCCAGCCAUCUCAGCUUUAAAGGGAGGAAAUCCCCAAUCCAAACUUCCUAUCCUCCAAUUCACACAGGCUUCAAUCGCGUAUUCCUACCCAACCCUAGCUUCAAUCCAGUCCCAAUCCAAUCCUCCUGCCGGGGCAAUCAAAAUCACCAAGGAAACCGGCGAAUCGUUACCACGAGCAACGAAUAGCAUCUUUCCUGACGCCCUAAUCCGUUGCAUCUUAGAGCAGGAACAAGGGAAGGAAGUAGGAUUAGGAAGGAGUGGAGCCUGUACUGUACCUGGAACUCGGUCUCCAUAUCAGCAGCCUCGUGCGGUGAUAUCUUCCCCCUCUGUUCUCGGAAACCCUCGCGGAAACGCCACUGCAAGCAAAACACAGGGAGGCCGGUUGGGGUUCUGAUAUUCCUGCAAACCCCCCUUGACGACUGCUUUGGGUUAACGCGAACAGAGGUGUGCUGAUAGCCUGAUACGGUCCCUAAUCUCUGUUUGAUUUAGACAUAUGUCCCUCGAUCUUCUAAUAGGGACCGGGUCAAGAUUGCAAUUCUCGUGUACCAAGGGACCAGGCGUGAAAUUUACCGGUCAUUGGCUCAUUGCUGCUGCCUGCACCAAACAUGAUGCCAUGGAAAUACGGUGACCGUCAGCUUAAUUGGCAGCAUGCGUGGGAGCCAUGCUUCGUGCCUCGUGCUCACAUCUCGUGGAGUGAGUGAACGGCUCAUUUCUUAUUCUCCCGUGUCCCCUUUUGUAGUUCCUUUUUUCGAUCCCAACAGCCGAAAAUUUUGUCUCACAAUUUUUUCGAGCGAACAAUUGUUGUUUGUUUCACAUGAAUCAUGGUGUUAGCGUGGGUGUGGCCAUGAGAUUAGAAACUGAAAUCCCAGUUCAGUUUAGGUACAUUAUGGUUUGUUUGUUUUUCUAAGAACAGUUUAGGGUUUUUUUUUAGUUUAGAACAGUUUAGGUACAUUAUGGUUAAUGCUCUUUCAGUUUUUCUUCUUCUAUACUCGGGCUGUAGGCGGGCUUUAUUACGGAAAGGCCUCUUUUCCAUCUCUGAUGGGCCUUGACAUCUUUGGGCCCAAAUGUCUGUCUGGGCCGAAAAAUACACAAUGAAAUCUCUGCAAUUAGAAUCCCUAUCCCUUGCGUAUCUCUAAAAAGAUCCCUGAGAAAAUCUAAAAUGUAAUAGAGAGAGGGAAGCAGCUCAAAAAAGAAAAAUAAAGAGUGAAAGAAAAGGUUGUACCACUCCUUUAGGCAGCUAGCUUGCAGCACUGAACUGAACGCAGCAAGUAAAGCCAGGCCAUACUCGUACUCGCCUACAUCGAUCGCGGCCACACACACAAAGCACUCCGUUGCCCGCCCGCCCGCCCGGCAUCUUUCCCACAUAUAUUCACAGCAGAAAACUUUUUGGUGAAAAACUGAAAAAGGCGAGGUGAGCUUGCACGAGGACGGCAAAAGAGCGAGACGUCGCACGCAGGCCAGCCAGCCCACCCUCGCAAUAAACAUCCACUCCCUCGCCGAUCCUGAAGUCCUGACGCCAGCCAGACCACUGUGCGCAUGUCUCGGUGGUCUCCAGACGCCAGGCACAAUAACGCGUACGUGCACGCGCGUGUUCGUCCGGGCUUUUCCACGCAUCACCCACUGCGACUUCCCCAUGCUCUGCUUUUUACCUUAUUAUUGUACGUCCUUGCUGCGACUUCCCAAUCAACAAGUACGGCGUCGGCGUAGCUGUGGCUAGGGCAGGCUUUGGGGUUGCUUCUUCACGUGAAACGGCGUUCCCAUCAUUUUUCCCAUCUCCAUGGGAGGACUAGCAGUUUCCUGCAGCUGAAUUAAUGCACGGGAGCUAUCUAUAUCUGUAAGUAGGCGUGAUUUGUCCCUUUCUAUUUGUAUGCGUUACUGUUUCGGUUAGCUACAUGCUAGUGGUAUGCUCGAAACACACUGCGUGUUGCAGCUGCAGAAACGAUCAAUUGGGCCGCACAGACCGGUGCAUUUCAUUGAGGACCGAGCUAGCUACAGAGUACACAUGUGUUCAGUUUCGUGAACAUUCUUGGUUAGAUGAGAAAUACUUUUCCCUCGAGUAACCAUGCAAGGGGUAAUAUAAGCCGCUGAUUAAUUAUUCACAGAUGUAGAUUCAUCGAUCGAUCGAAAGGGCCUGAUUCAGUGUCAUGUUAAUGCAUGUGAAGAAUGCAUCACGCAUGCACACCUGCAGUAUAUAGUAGUCCUGGCAAGUUACUUAACUGCUGUAAUUAACUCUGCGUGUCGAUACAUAUACCGACAGCCAUGAACUAAGCUACUCCGUAGCCAUGAAUGAUAUAUACCGACUGCUCUUAAGCGGUCUGUCUGCCGGAGUGGUAGUAGAAGGGGCAGGAGAAGGCAAGCCAAAACAGUUGCACUCUCAGCUUGUCAGUCUCAUAAUGGGAGAUUAAAGAUACUGGAUCAGGGUGGUGAGCGUCCGUCAGUUUUGACAAUAGAAUGGUACGAAUGGCACAGACAUUUGGAGACAUGAAGGAUAAAAGUUAAACUUGUAUGAAGUAAAAAAAAAUUAGUAAUGUAAAUGUGUUAUCCAAGUUAUAUGAAUAGUGCAUGCACACAAUUGGAUCAGGCCAAAACUGAAAGUCAACAAUUCCAUGAUGCUACUGCAGCUACAUGAGCCUUCAUGAAAAGAACAAAUAAAUCAUCGGAAUUAUGUUAGUGCCUGUCCAGAUCAAAAUAUUUCCCAUGCUUAUGUAUGUCGAAGAGAGCAACGAGUGCAUAAUCACCAUGAGAUUCUUCCUCUUUUUUCUACAAAAGAUGAAAUAUGAUGGAUAUGCAUAAGAUAAGAUCACCGAGAGGCGCGCCAUGAUGAUCUAGUAUGACCUUAGGAAGAACAGCACACACACGACACUCGAGUAACAUGGCCCAUUCAUACAUUCCAGUCAUGCUAAUGGCCAUUAGCUUGUUGCUGAUCCCGUUCAAGGCCGUUUCAUAUCCUGCUCUGAGCAACAACACUGACCUUGCCGCACUGUUGGCUUUCAGAUCAGAGCUAUCCGAUCCUCUGGCAAUCCUUACAAAUAACUGGACAAGUGGUGCAUCCUUCUGCCACUGGAUCGGUGUGUCGUGCAGCCGCCGCCGCCAGCGUGUCACUGCUUUGGAGCUGCCGGACAUGGCCCUCCAAGGAGAGCUCAGCCCUCACCUCGGUAACCUCUCUUUCCUCCAGGUCCUCAACCUCACAAACACACAGCUCAUUGGCUCCAUCCCAGCUGAUCUUGGAAGGUUAGCUCGUCUAGGAUAUCUUGAUCUUGGCUACAAUAGUUUAUCAGAUCCCAUCCCGUCCACUAUACGGAACCUCACGAGGCUCCAAUUUCUGUUCAAUUUCAACCAGCUCUCUGGGAAUAUCCCAAAUAUUUUUCAGCGGACGAAUACCAAAUUUUUCAUUUGAUGCUCAUCCAUAACAACAGUCUAUCUCGACCAAUACCAGAUGGUAUCGGCUCCUUGUUCAUACUUCAAGUUCUUCAGUUGAGACAUAACAUGCUCUCCGGUCCAGUACCUCCUACCAUCUUCAACAUGUCUAGUCUUGAGGACAUGCGUCUGGGGCACAACAAUCUAAUAGGUCCUAUACCUAGCAAUAGAAGUUUUAGUCUCCCUGCGUUGCAAAUAUUUGAUAUCAUCAAGAACAAAUUCACGGGCCAAAUUUCAUUGGGCCUUGCAGCAUGCAAGCACGUUCAGGUACUUAAUAUUGCGGGAAACCUCUUUGUGGAUGUCGUGCCGACAUGGCUGGCUCAGCUAACACGUCUCACGGGAAUAUCUAUGGGUGGCCAAGACAUCUUCGGUCCAAUCCCCUCUGUGCUCAGCAAUCUCACCAUGCUCAACGUGCUUGACAUCUCACGCUCCAACCUAAGCGGAGAUAUUCCGGUGGAACUUGGAAAACUGAGACAACUCACUGUUCUUAAAUUUUCGGAUAAUCAACUAACAGGUUCCUUCCCUGAUUUUCUAGGAAAUUUUUCGGAAAUAUCUUACUUAGAUUUGCGUUCUAAUCAGCUUAGUGGAAGAGUACCAUCACUUGGAAACAAUAGACACCUUUGGCGUCUUGAUAUUCGAGAAAAUUAUCUCCAAGGGGAUCUUAGUUUCUUGGCCAGCCUUUGCAAUUGUCGGCAACUCCAAAUGAUUGGCAUAUCCAAUAAUCCGUUCACUGGGAGUCUCCCCAGCUAUGUUGGCAACCUCUCUACUCAUCUCUUAGAAUUUGAAGGAUACAACAUCCAGUUGGCUGGAGGGCUUCCAGGCACACCGUCAAAUCUAAGUGACCUUCGUUUGUUAAACUUCGGAUACAACCAACUAACCAAGGAAAUCCCAGAAUCCAUCUCAAAGUUGGAGAAUCUCCAGGCACUUGGACUCAAUGUAAAUAGCAUGACUGGCUCAAUACCGGUACAAUUUGGUAUGCUAAGGAGUAUUGUAGUCUUGCUCCUCGAUAACAAUAGAUUCUCUGGCUCCAUACCAGAUGGCAUUGGGAACCUCACCAUGUUAGAGUUUGUUUCGCUAUCUUAUAACCAUCUAUCUUCGACCAUACCAUCAAGCUUGUUUUAUCAUAGUAGACUUAUUCAACUGCAUCUGUCCCAUAACUCCCUAAUCGGUACAUUACCUUCUGAUCUUAGACAUGUGCAAAGUAUGGAUCAAAUGGAUCUAAUAAUAUACUCAGGAGCAAUAAAGGUCCCGCAUAUGUUCUCAUUGACCGAUUGAUUGUAGAAAUCACAGUGGUAACAUUAGGAACUGUCAAAGCCGAUAAAGAUCUGCUGAACUCCAGAAGAUAGGCAAAAUGCCGAAUCACCUGCAAAUAUAUAACAUAAACAAUAUGAUGCUGCUAGAGAUAUAGAAAGAGCAUUUGGAUCACCUGCAAAUAUAUCAAGAUACACAAUAUGCUGCUGCUAGAGAUAUAAAGAAUUCACGGGACUCCAGAAGAUAGGCAAAAUGCUGAAUUACCUGUUGCACAGUGUUUUUUGAAAAUUUCACACUGUACACCACAAGUAUUCUACUUUCUACACUCACUGCAUCCACAGCAUACAUCACAAUAAAAAUUCACAAUGCAGCCAGGGGUACAAAGACUGCAUUUACAUGGACUUUUCUGCCCUCAUCACCUACCCUCUGUGGAUCUCAUUCCGGCGGCGGUUGAAGGUGAGGGCAGCUGCGGCAAAGCUGGGGGAUGCGGCGGCGGAGCUUGGGGUUGCAGCGCUGGGUGGUGCAGGAGAUGGGGCUGCGACGCAGGGUGGUCGCGGAGCUUGGGGUAGUUCGACGGCGGCACAAGGGUGGCGGACGAGAUGGGGAUGCAGUGCAUGGUCACGGAGGUGGGCGAUGCGACGGCGGCGAGGGCGGAGGUGAUGGGGUUGUGGCGCAGGGCGGCAAGAGAUGAGCUGCGACGGUGGCGCGUCGCGGCAGACGAGAUGGUGCUGCGUCGCAGGGUGGCGGAGAUGGGUUGCGGCGGCGGAGAUGGGGGCUCUGGCGGCGGCGCAGGACGGCCGAACCUAGCUCUUCCUAGGCGGCGAGUGGCAGGUUGGGACUUGGGAUGGGAGAGGAGGCAGGGCAGCCCGAACGGGGAGUCGGGACUCGGGAGGAGAAGCGUCGACCGAGACGAGGAGACGAGGCAGCCCAAGACCGAGACGCAUCACGCACGGGAGGAGCAGUAUGGCCUUAUGGGCCGCAAAAUCAGCCCAAUUAACCAGAAGACGUGGAUUUUUCUCACGGAGCAGCGGCCCGUAGGACAAUUGGCCCAGGCGGGAUGCACAGAAAGAUCUAACGGUCACAAAUGCUCAGAAGUCGAGAUCGUACGGUCGGAAACGCUGAUGGCGUGAGAAACCUCCCAAGAUGCCCAGUUUUACUGUCCUAAAAAAUACGACUUCCCAACCAUGUUAAUGUCGAAACAUGGAAUUGCGCAGGUUCCGCGCACCUAUAGUAGUCCUUGCAAUUACUUAACUCUGCGUGUCGAACUGUCGAUGCAUUUACCGACAGCCUGAUCAGGAACUAGCUAGCUGGCCAUGAACAAUGAAUUCCCAGCUGCUGUUCAUUACGAGCGCCCCUGCCUGAGCGCUGCCGUGCGCCGCCGGACGAUACGUGCGUACGUGCUCGAUCGUGCACCCCAGCACACGUACAGACGUACUCGAUCCUACUCAUCUUCUUGUGGUCCAAAAAGGCGUGGAAGAUCAGGAAGAAGAGGAAGAAGCUAGCUUUCCGGCCCUCAGGCAAAAUUAAAGGGAGAAAGCUAGCGACUCCAGUCAUGCAGUGGCACCAUGGAGUUAGUAGUUGCAUCGUCCAAGAGGGAUUCGGAGGCACGCAUUUAAUUCGGGCCAUCCUCCGGUCCGUGCUGGACUGGCCUCAAGCUAGCCCGACACGCACCAACAGACACGUACCGCAGCUGUAGCGACGGCGCCACACACACACAGCGCCGUAGCUGGAUGGUGCUAGCUAGCUGUACAGCACGUACGUGCGUCGAGUACAUGCAUAUCGGCCGGCCAUUUCGAAUGCUCGGAAACAGUGUUGGAUCUAGACCGAUCGACUUAUAAGGGGCCGUUCGAUGGAGAGAGAUACGCUGGACGCAGUGCCGUGUCUACGUUAAUUCUGCGCACGCACGCACGCAUUUGCACACCUAGCUACUGCUCCUGAUUGAACAAGUCCGAGCUAGCCGCGUGCAUGCAUGUACAGGGUACACGUACUAACGGUUGGUACGUGUACGUGCGUGCGUGUUGCCGACCGGGCAAAACGUUGUGUCACGUCCCAGAUCGAUCGAUCUCCAACCGUGCAUGCAUGCACUGUUCCUGUUUAUCGAUCGAUCAUUUUGCCGUAUAGGCGGAGAGAGCGGAGUUGAUGCUUUGCCCUGAAAUAGGUUUUCCACUGUGUGACAAAACCUAGGCUGGCUAGCUAGCUGUGCCGUGCGCGCGGGCCGGCCUGGGCACUGUGGCUGAGUUGAUGCAUGCAAACCGUUUACGUCGACACCCAACUCGAUCGAUCGCGGCCCUGUCGCAAUAUUUGUUCUGUGUUGUGCGGACAAAAAUCCAUGUAAAUCAGCUCAUUUUGCUUUUACACCCAAGACACUAGGAGUAGUACAUUUUACAUAUGUUUCCGUAUGCGGAAAAAAGGAUUUGGAUGGACAGGCCGGGUGGCACGACCCACUCGACGGCAUUCCAAAAGGAGAGCUAGCUAGCCUGCAACGCGAUGGAUCGAUUUUCGUCGUACCAUACACACGUACACACGGUACACCAUAUACGAACGAGGCAGCCAAGAGGAGGAAUACGAACGAGACGGUCGUACACUCUCACCGUCUCACGCACGUACGCGGUACUUCUGUGCGAAAACGAGAGGCAGCAGUCACGCUGGGUUCGUGUUUUGUCGGUUCGUGACGGGGCGCAGGACCAGAGGGUAGCAGACCCCCUUUUUCUUUCUUUCACCCCCUCGUGCGCCCCAUGCCGAAGUGACGGAAAUGACCCCGGACGGGCUUAUCGUCGGCCCACGUGUCGGGGGCCGGACGGACGGGCUUCUCGCGUCCCUUGGCUGGGGCCUGGGGGUUAUGGGCUCCACGGCGCGCAGGGAAAGGCGUGGCGGGCCAGCCACGCGACCGCACGUUCGGCCUCCAGUGCGGCCCACACGCUCGAUCGGAUCGGCCAAGCCCGACCCGGGGGUCUCACUCUCACGUGAAGCACCACCACGUGGACUUGGUCAACGGGGCCGGCAGGGGAGCCCGGAAGCCAAUGGUAAGAUAACACGUGGCGGGCCAACAUGCAUGCCGGGUGGGACCAAGACGAGAAGAGAUAGUUGGAAGGAGCCCACCGCCGUGCAUUAACGUUUGACCGGUCCUUGCCCUUGUGGGUGCACCCUUUUUUUUCUUCCUUUCGGCUGCAGGCCUGCAUCAGGACGGUGAUGGAUGGACUCGGAGAAAACAGUGCACGCUGAGCCUCGGACACAGUUACUUCCAUACUUGUCUCACGCAGAUGACCGUCCAAACUGAGAAGCCCAACCACGUCCACUAAUAAAUAAACUCGUGCGCUUAGCUUACACACGAGAGUCUCCGGACGCUGCGUGAUUGCCUAACUGCCACACUUGACUUGGUGGUGUACGUAACGGGAACCUACACAGUCGGCUUUCCUCAGUGCCCAAGUAAACAUCUGACAAGGUUAAAGGAUAGUUAUGGGCUUAUGGCACAGCAAGCGGGUCUGGACCUCUUUCUGCUCGUCAGGAAACAAUCGAAGGGAAAAGGGUGGUCCAAGAAACGACAGACCCAGGACAGGGGCCCCGGACUGCACAGAAGAGGUCCCGUGUGGGUUUGCACGUGUGACAGAGUCACAGAGAGGACGGCCUGGCCGGCGCGUAAUUUCUUCUUCUUUUUUCCAGGAUAUAACAUUAUACUGUAGAUCAGAGUCAGCAAACCCCUUUGGCUUGGUCUUUUGCCUUUCCUCUCUCGCGGCCGGCCGGCGCGGAUAUCGAUCGAUCACUCUUUUCCUGGUACCAUCGCACUGCCGCUGCACCACUGCUAGUCCUGACCACCCUGUGCGUGCUUUGCAGUGGACGGGUCGACGGUUUUUCACUGCUAGAUCCACACACGCGCAGGACAACCCGCACGGAAAUACCUACGGGAUGGGAUGCGAGCUCGCCUGCUCGGGCAUGCGGGUGACAAUAGCGAUGCCGUCAUCCGCGCGUGCGUCGUGACGAUUUCUGGCAGUGGAUUCCGAAUGAGAAAGGGCCUCUCUGGAUAAAAAUCUACAGUAGUCGCCCGCGUCGGAGUCAGUGAAAAAGGAGAGUAACAAUACGACGGCAGAAGUGACAUUCAUGCACUAAUUUGGUUUCAUGUGCUAGCUAGCUGCCAGGCCAAUUAAUGGAGUCCUUGGAAUCGCAAGUUUGAAACGUUGCGUUUCAACCAAUCAGGGAACGCGGAAAGCCUUUUGACCUAGGAGUGCAUUUUUUAACCCUUUUUCAAUUGAUGUUGUUUUCUCUACGGACUCGUGAAGGUCUUAUGUAGGCAUACUACAUGUAUGGUCCCCAAAGAGAGACCAACAAGAUCCUGCAAUUAAGGAGUUCCAUCGCACGGAAAAAUAGCACACGUACCUAUGCGCAUAGGAUGCUCUAAACUCGUGGAAAUGAAAAGCAUGGAGCAACCGACACACAAACAAAACAUCAUUGUCUAUCUACUAUCAGAACCUGAACGGUGGCCGCUCGUACUACCUUGCAUGUAUUGUACGUGCCAUAGAUACGGCUACGUCUACCACUGAGACUCGUCCAAACUCUCGCUCUCACGGCCGUCUCUGCCGAGCCGCUGCGGUCGAUAAACCUGGAUCGAUCAGAUCAGAUCAGAUCAGUCGACGGCGGAUCCGAUCGGACGCUUCUCGUCGCAGAGCGCGUUUCUCGUCCAUCGAUCUCUCCCGGGCCCUGCAAGGUAGGGUCCACGCACGUACGCAGUUGCCCAAUGCAUCUGCAUGCACGCACCCACGCACACUGCAUGGUGGGUUCCAUGAGCAGUCUGACAGGACGUCGUAGGAGCACUGUUCCCAAUCAAAUCCUAGGAGGCGUACGUCCAGGGCCGUCCCUGGCAUGCAAAAGCAGCCGGAGACCGUUCCAGAUCCAGCUAGCUGCCGUGCCUCUCGCGCGCGAUCUUCAUGCUAAUGCCGGCAGCACGAGGAACAAGAGGCCGGAGAAAGGAAUGCAUUAUGAAAUAUGAAUAGAGAGCGUGGCAUGGUCGCUUUGAUGAUCCCACAAAACAUGAGUGUUAUAUAUGAAAUAUGAAUAGAGAGCGUGGCAUGGUCGCUUUGGAAGACGUUUGGGUUCUAAUUUUGAGUCUAUUAUCAACAUUGUCUGUGCUGCAAUUCUGUAGAGCAUUUGGACUUUUCGCAAUAACAGGAUUUUUGAUAACCAACUUUGGAUUUCCUCUAAACAGAUUUGGUGGUUAAUCCUGCGGUCACUCUGGAAAUGGUCGCUGCUGUUCAGAGAUUAUGUGCUCGACAGAAUGGACUCCUUCUGUCAAGAGGUGUCUCGUAUACUGGGGAUGCCUCUGCUACUGCCUUGGAUUUAAGUGUGCCUCUCUGACUCCUCCCCAACUGUUUAUAUGUUACCAGGUAAUCUUCCUCCGCCGACGGGCACACCUGAGAUAAAGCUCGUGGUAACGUCGGGCAGCCCGGUUUCAGUCCUUGAACAAGGCUUGACUCCCAAGGCUGGACUUCCGCAGAGGGAGGUGAUCAGGUCCUGCCAAUUCUAUACUCUGGCUGACGCUGCACCAAUCAUGUUUAGCGUUCCGCAAAAUCUGUAGUUCGCUGCUGUGUGCUCAGCUUGUAACCCCCUCCCCAUGUUCUCUUUUUCAGACUUCUUUAUUAUCUUGUUGUUGAAGAUGUUUGUUACGGACCUGGUUUCUUAAAUCUAUGGAGGCCUCCUGUUGAUUAAAAAAAAAUCUAAGCCGCUCCAAAAGAGGGUGCAGUAGUAGCUAGGUAGCUCCCAAGGCAUGCAUGCAUGUGCUAGCUGUUUGAUCCAUCCAGCUGCAUUGCGUGCGGGUCGGGUCGCUUGCUUUUGAUCAUUUUGAUGUGACCGCGCGCGGCCGGCCGGAUGGGAAUGGUCAAUGGUCGAUCGAAUCCAAUCCAAUCCAGCAUUGCCGCCCGGCCGGAACGACCGAUUAAUUCACUGCAUGCGGUAGCUAUUUACGGGGGAAUAAUGUGGGAUUACCACGCACAUGGCACGCCCUUUGCUAGCUGGGGAAUCAAGCUCCGACAAAGCUAAUUUGAGGGUGGAUGCAUGCAUGAUGUGGCUGUUGUGAGACGUUAACUCUCUCUCGAGGUUUUACUAGCUAGUCGGCCAUGUCGAUGCAUGCCUUUUGCUUUUGAUUGACGUGAUAGCUUAGGCUAGCUAGCUUUAUUUCGGAUUCCUUUAUGACCAGCUUACUGUGUGCAUGGCAUGCACACGAUCAUCACGCGCCUCGCACACCUUCUUUUGUCUCACCCUUUUCCGUUCACAUGCAUGCAACGUACCCCGCGGCAGCGGGAAGCAACGGUGCUCUGCCUGUUUGGGUUCAAGUUUUCUCUUUUUGAGAGAGCAUAUAGAUCCAGCGAGCUCAGUUCCGAUGUACACUUUAUCUGCCUGUGGCCGUAUGAACCAGUCGAUGUACUUUAUUUUCGAAAUAAAAAAUCUAGUUACGGGCUGAUUACUGCCACGCCGCGACUGGCCGGAAAACUGGGUUCUCUUCACUGCUAGCUACGACGUACGUUCGUAAUCGUGUCUCGUUCGUCAGUACUUUCUCCGUUUGAAACGUUUGAAAAAAAUUGACACGGCUUUGAACUAAAAGAGCUAGUUCAAUAAUCUUUAUGAGACAGAGAGAGUACUUUUUUUUCCAACUUUACGAAUUGACCGACUGGGGUUCAAUCAGACAUUUGCCAACCGAAGAUGUACUUGCGCGGCACUAAUCGCUUGAAAUUUUUCGGUCCAAAUUAAAGAAAGAUACUGUCUGCUGCUGCAAGACCGUGCAGAACCGGAGUUAAGAUAGGAGGAAUCACGCUCGUGUCAGUGCUGUAACGUGUAACGGACUGGAUUUGGUCUUGCGGAACAGACUAACGGCCGGUUCAGAGGAGGAACUCGCCUCGCUUUGUUCUUUCUUGCAGGAUUUCGCGUCAAAUGAUGUCGACGACUCGAGGCUGCUGCUCUCUGAGCAACCUUUCUCCACGCGCGGAGCAUACCUAAUGCUCUCGUCGGGGGAGUCGGACCCAUCGGCUGAUGCGAUUUGGAAGUGCCAUGUGCCUCUCAAGAUCAAAAUCUUUGCCUGGCUGUUUCACCAGGAUCGCCUGAACACAAGGAGGAACUUAUGCCAUAAGACGAUCACACUACAACAAAACAUGCCUGUAGAGACGCUGAAUUAGCAGGCUAAAGACAUGAUAUUUCAUCUCUAGUGGAUUAUAGAGUCGCUUUCACAAAGCGUCUUCGGAGCGUCUCCUCUGGGACCGUGUCAAGUUACGUAGAGACACUAGCUAAGCGUGACUACAGGAUAUGAGACGUUUCAUAGAGACGUUCAAAUUCGUGUCUAUACAUGUAAGGACGUUUUAUUUGACACGUUUCAAUUACGUCUUUAUCAACAUUUUGACACGCUCAAUUUGCGUGACAACAAAGAUAGAGACGUUUUUACAAAUUUGGCCUAGCCCAUCCUAUGAGUCAGUAUUGGAUUGGUUUGGGCUGUAGUCGGGCCCACCUUUCUGUCGGCCCAUCAUAAUUGAAAACUCAUGGCACAUGGCAAGCCCAUUUCUGUAAAAAUAUAUUUGGGUAGCCUAUUUUAAAUUUCGAAUUUUCUAAGAAAAUGAUGUUUUUCUUAAAUUUGACAGACAAUCACACAAUCAGUUGUACAAGGACACACAAUCAGUUCUGCCGCUGCCUCACCGUUGCUGGCCUGCUGUUGCAAUCACUGUGCUCUGGAAAAUCUGGGAUGCCAGAAACAGCGUGAUCUUCCGGCUACCGCCUCAUGUAAUUGUCAGGAACAUUCUCGCUGACUUUACUUUAUGGUCCCAUCGACUCAGGAAAGUCGACCUUCAGGUAGCGGACACUGCGUGACGUGACUACCUCUCUUCUCGGGUUUUGGCCCAUGUAUUCAGGUGGGGAUUGGUAGGCUACACCAUCGAUUGCGGCCAUUCCCCUACGAGCAGACGAGAAGUGACGAGCAUUUUUAGGCUGACAAAACAUGAAAAGGUACAUGCUUUACGCACCGUGUGCAUGAGAACUGAGAAAACUAAUUAAGCGUGCCACAACUGUUAAAACUCGAAGUGGCCGAUCGAAUGGUGGAUCGAUCCAUCAGCCCAUAUCUUGUAGGAGCUAGCUAGCCACUGACAAGGAGUAGCAGCUAGUACUCAACAUCAGCUAGCUAGAGGUGCCUAAAACUCGAGAUGACUUGAGGGGAUCCAAGGCAACAUGGUGACGUGAAAGCAUGAUGGAAAUGCAGUGUGUGGUUUUGGAAAAUGACUAGCAAGCAAUGAAGCAAACAUGUGCGCGGUGCGCCCGAGAGUGAAGAGAAGACGGGCUGGCAAGGCAUAUGCAGAAGUUGUCUUUGACGGCAGCACGCGCGGCACACCGGUCUGAUCGACGCAGACGUUUCGUUUGGAUUUGGAUCAAUGCAUGACGCGGUCGAAGUUGACCUCUACUCGAUCAAUGUACAUACGUAGAACGGAAACUACCCAUGCAUGCCGUACGUAUAUAUGAACUAUUUCUUCCUGAUUUUUACCACGUAGGACAACAUCAACAGUGGGCCUGCUUGGAUGGCCGUUUUGGGGCUCAUAACCGGGGUAAUUUACGGAGGCUGAAAAAUUUCCGACGACAGCCUGAAACACCGAUUGGAACGUCGUUUUCGUUUUCCUUUUCGUUCGGUUUAGAGGCUUUACACCCGUAAACAAUUACGGAUCUGAGGAGGUCUGGAUAGAAAAACGAGGAAGAGGACUAGCGGCGCACGCCGCAGGGAGAAAGGAAGAAACGAGAUCCGGCGACGCGUGGGUCGGCGAUUGGAGUGGUGUCCGGCGGCGGCGAGGUGGCGGCGCCUGAAGCGGGUUUUGGCGGCAUGCCGGGUCGUUGUCUGGAGCAGUUUCUGAUGGCGCGAGGAGGCGACGGUUGGAGCGUGUCCGGCGGUGCAUGGCGGCGGCGCGUGCGGUUUUAGCUUCCGGCAACACCCUCUCCCACUAGCUCCCUCCUCUACCUCACCGCAACCUCCCCGGCUCCCACUUGUAAGGCUAUACCUCACCUCGAUCACCAUCGUCUUCACCGUCGAUCGGUGGCGGCAUGGACCAAAGGUUCUGCUAGCAUUGCAGCAGAGUAUUUUUUUUUCUCGAACACGCCGAGCGGCGUGUCAUUUCCAUUAAGAAGAAAGCGCAAGAAGAGCGAGUACAAGCGGCAACAAAAGGAACCUCAAAGGGCGCCCAAAAAAGAAAAACGCAAAUGAAAACAAGAAGAAGAAAAAGGUCGCCCAUGGAGGGGGAGGCCUAGCUGCCUAAGAGCGCGCGCACCUACAGCCCGCCACAAAUCCACCUCCACAAAGAUGUCCUCGACCAAGCUAGAGGCAACCGGCGUGGAUCCCUCGAAGAUGCAGCAUUCUGGAGCUUCCAAAGACGCCAGAGAGAGAGGUUGAUGAGGGAGCGAAUGGCCUUCACCUUGUCCGGCGCCCGACGUGCUCCUGCCGACAGCCAGCCCACAAGGUCCUCGGAGGGACGGGGGAGGCAAGGAAGGGCCCCGGCCCUAUCCAGGAUCGCAUGCAGCACCGUCUUCGAGAAAGCACAGCCCACAAGGAGAUGAGCUAUGGUCUCGGGCUCCUGGUCGCAAAGAGGGUAGCGCGCGUUGCAGGGGAGACUGCGGCGUUCCAGACGGUCCGCCUUCUAGCAAUGGUUGGUGCACGCAAGCCAAACCCAAAUCCGACACUUCAACAGUGUCCAACAACGCCAGAUCUGAGCCCAACAAGGGGAAGUCGGGCGUUCCUCGAAGAAGUGAAGGAACGCCGAUUUGGAGGAAUAGACACCCGAGGGCGACCAACGCCAGCGGAACACAUCGUCCCUGUCCGGAGCAAGCUCCACGGAGGCAAGCGUGUCCGCUAGCCGAAGAAACUCAACCAUGCCCUGAGCAUUGAGAGGGCCCGAAAUAUCAUGAAUCCAAGCCUCCUCAAAAAGGGCGUACACAACACAUCGUGUACGGGUGAUCCUUCGACCAACGGCGGCAAAAACGACCGGGGCAACUACUUCGAUCGACUUCCGAUCAAUCCAGUUGUCAGACCAGAAGAGGGUAGAGCGACCGUUCCCCACCACCGAACAGCAAGCCUCAUGAAAGAGGGCGAGGACAAGGGGGCUGAAGCGGAUACGAAAGGAAGCCCAAGGCAUAUCGACCUCAGCCCGCUGCAACCAAGGCCAACGAAGCUGGAGGGCGGUGCUCAACAAGUUGGCGUCACGAACCCCAAGACCUCCCAAACGAAUGGGAGGCAGACCUUGGCCCAGGCCACCGCACAAUGACCACGUUGAGCAUCGGUCCGACCUUUCUAGAAAAAACUCCGUUGCUUCUUAUUAAUGGCAUCACCCAACCACUUCGAGAGCAAGGAGAGUGUGGACCAGAAUGGCCGAGAGAACCGAUUUGACGAGAGUCAACUGGCCACCCCAGGACAGCAUCCCGGCACGCCAGCUAGCAAGCUUGCGGUCUAGCUUGUCAAGAAUAGGCUGGAAAUCCUGACGACAGGGCCUGGAGAUGGAGAGGGGGGCACCCAAGUAGGGGAUGGGAAACUCCUGAACCGGACAAGCCAGGUAAUGGAGAACGACCUGAAUCUCCUCAGGAGAGCAGCAGAUGGGAGUGGCCGAGCUCUUCAGGAUAUUCAUGCGCAGGCCCGAAGCAUCACCAAAGACCUCAAGCAAAUCAGGCAAGAUGGUGCACUCCGCCACCUCAGGCUGAUAAACACGACCACGCCAUCAGCGUAGAAGGAAGCCUGGCAACCCGGAGUCCCUCCUCUAAAAGGAGAAAGGAGCCGCUCCCGGGCGGCAGCGAGAAGAAGGCUGUUGAAGGUAUCCAUCACAAUGACGAAGAGCAUCAGGGAUAAGGGGUCCCCCUGGCGCAGGCCCCGACGAUGCACCACCUCAUGGCUAAGGUGACCAUUGAUAAUAAUCUGGGUGCUGGAAGUGGAAAGCAGCAAGCAGAUGAGAUCACACCACACACGACCAAAGCCACGAUGUCGGAGGAGAUCCAACAAAAAGGCCCAGGAGACAGAGUCAAACGCCCUAGCGAUGUCAAGCUUACAAAGCAUCGCUGGCUGCCUAGAAAUGUGCAACGACCUCGCCAUUUGCUUCACGAGCAUGAAAUUAUCGUGAAUGGCACGACCACGGAUAAAGGCACACUGGUUGGUGGAGAUCAGGGUCGGCAGGAGAGGCGCAAGCCGGAGCGAGAGCACCUUAGCGACCAACUUGGCGAUGCCGUGAACAAGGCUGAUAGGCCUAAAAUCCCGAACCUCCGAAGGCUAGUUCUUCUUGGGAACGAGAGUAAGGAGCGCACGGUUAAGGUCGUGGAAGCCGGCGUGACCCCUCCGUGGAGCCAACGAAAGAGCUCGACCACCUCGCCCUUGAUGACGGACCAACAAGACGAGAAGAAAAGUCCGGUAAAACCAUCCAGACUUGGGGCGCGAUCCCGAGGUAAAGCUCGAACGGCAGCCCAGAUUUCCUCUUCCGAAAAGGGUUCCUCCAAAACGCGUAAGUCCAAGCGCGGAAUCUGGAGGAAGUCGAAGUCCAGGGUCCGCAACCUCUCCUCCGGAAAGUCAAAAACCUCCUCAAAGAAGGAAGUAAUUGCCUCCUCGAUGCGAUCCUGGUCGAUCAGAUCCUGAUCCCCAUGGUGGAGCUGCGCAAUAAAGUUUCGUCUGCGACGAGCGCCCGCAUGGAAGUGGAAAAAGCUGGUGUUAGCGUCGCCAUCCCUCAACCAAGUGAUGCGGGCCCGGUGACGGGCAAUGGUCCGCUGCAGAGAGCACAAAGCCAAAUAUUUUAUCUUCAAGCUCUUGCGAAGCCGGGGAAAGUGGGCGACGCUCCUGAGAGACCUCAAGACGGAAAAUAAUCUCCACCGCGCAAUCAAUCUGAGGGCAGCAGAGUAUUACCCAAACAGUAUUUUCCAAGGGAAUGAUAUACGAUGGUUUUGUUGGUUACCAGUAUAAUGCCGGUGUAAAUUGAUAGAGGAGCAUAAAGUUACAUGAAUGCCAAGCGGGGCCUAAAAUUAUUUGUUUUUUUUUAGAAAACGAAAGGAUACAGAAGGCCAUGGCAAGUUGCUGCUCCUAGGCCUGAGGGGACUGGCCCAUGGGCCAGGGUACGAGUGGAUAGCGGUCGGGCGAUUGUCCAAGCCCAGCUCCGCCCUGCUAGGCCUAGGGCCGCUGUGGGUCCCGCGAGGCACACGCGCAGAGAGACCCCACCGACCGCGCCGGGCGCUGCCAGACUGCGAGCCGGAUUGCUGCCCCCGGCCGGCCGGCCAGCCGCGAGGGGGAGCGAAUUUGCACCCACCAGCAGAAACCAAACCAAAACCGAAGGCCGCCCUCACGCUCCAAAUAGCAAAGCCCCGAGCCACGGCGCCGGCAAAAGAAAGAACCCAUCCAGCCACUGAGCCACGCACCCCGGCACCCACCAACACAAAUUAACCCGAGUACCCGACCCCAUCGGAUCAUCCAUCCGUCUCGUCUCUUUAUUUCCUCUCCUUUUCUGCCCCGCCCGCCCGCACGCACGGUCCAAGGCUCCUCCGUGCGUGCGGAUUGACUCGCGCACCCUUACGCUCCCUUCCGCGUCACUCACUCACCAGUCAGUCCCCCCUCGUGCAGCGCCAGCGCCAGCAGCCAGCGGCAUUCAGCGCCUCGCUAGCUCCCUCCUCCUCCGUCUUCUACCUAGCUAGCCGCGGCGCCGCGCGCGCGCGGCCGUCCCGCCGGUGCGUUGAGAUACAUCCAUUGCCAGCCGAGCUCGCGCGCGCGGCAAGUCCAUGGGCCGGCCGAGCCGCCGCGGCCUCCUCGCCGCGGCGCUGCUCCUCCUCUUCGUCUUCUUCUCCGCCGCUGCCCUCGGUAAUAUACAUGCCUUCUCCUCCAUCUUCUGUUUCUUCUGCAUUAUAUACAAGGCCAGCUCUGACCGUCAUUGACUCAUGGUGUGUUGUGUGUGUCCUGCAGGCGCGAGCGCGGCGAGGACCGGCCGGAGGAGCCGCGUCGUUGGUGGCGGAGCGGUGGAGGAGGGGGAGAAGUACUGGUGGGACCCUGCGGCGGCGGCGGCGGCGGCGGGGGGGAGGCGGAGGGAGCUGGUGGGGCCGGGGUCGUCGCCGCCGACGUGCCGGAGCCGGUGCGGGGGGUGCCACCCGUGCCGGCCGGUGCACGUGGCCAUCCAGCCGGGAGUCAGCUUCCCGCUCGAGUACUACCCGGAGGCAUGGCGCUGCAAGUGCGGCGACAGGCUAUUCAUGCCCUGACUGCUCACACCCACGACCGUCUGCACUUGUGCACAUAUGUAAGGUGCAUGCUCCUUGGGCCGCUCCGCCAUUACUGGCUGCUUCGCUUCACUCACACGAGCUAGCUCGCUUAGCUACGGUCUACGGCGGCCGAGCAGCAAAAGGCAAGGGGUGAAGGGAGUCACGGCCUCACGGGUCGAGCAAACGCACGGCGACCAGGAAGCUACGAGCUAGAGAGAGCGGGGAGCAGAGCACCAGGAGAUUGAUGGAAACAAGACCAACCAUGGAUGACCUCUUCAAUGGGGUCGAUGUAUGUAAUAAUGUUGUAAGUAGCCGGUCCUGUCUCGUGUACAAAGAGCGAGCGAGGAAGAGAUGGAUCGAGAUGUUCAUGCGCGCGCGCUCUCUCUCUCUCUCUCCCUCUCUCUCUCUGCUGUUGGUUCUUUCUUUUCCACCUUCCGGUUCAGCGGAGCGAUUUUUCCCAGCUAAUUUUCGUCAAAUCUAUGAUGUGAUGUUUUUAACCGGAUUAGCUACGUAGUUUUCAUCAUUUCUCCUUGUUCGAUUCUGCUGUACUACAUCGCAUCUUCUCGCAGUGAAGGUCAUAAAAAAUUAGUAGUAACAAGGAAGAAACAUUUCUAUCUUGAGGCCUGAAUGUCUGGUACCUGGAUGUCAUUGUUCUUUGUGGAUUUAAUUCCCUAGUUCUUGCGCCCGUCUGCGUCCGUCCGUGCAUAUACAUACACCACCCAAAGAAACAAUUUCUUCAUUCCCCCCACCAUCAAAUAUCCGGAACAGUUUCCUUACUCCUUUCAAGCACACGCACACUCCAUGGCAGGGCAUGUGCCUCGCAGAGCCUCAGCUGCAUAUAGUAUGAGCGCGCGCAGAAAACCAUGGAAAGUAGCUCCAGCAACCCCCCAAACGAUCAGAUGGGAAACAGUAGUAGUAGCAGGGAAAGAGGGGGGAGAUGGAUCGUAGGGAGUGUAGAGCUACAGGUACAGAGAGUUGCACGCUUUGCGUUGCAGGAUGAGCUCCACUUUUUCAUUUCGCAGGGGCAAGAAACAAACCAAAAAGCCUGUCUGCGUGCGAAGACUGGUACGGAGAGUAGUAUACGGCGAAUCUCUCUCGCAGCAACAGUGACCUAAUAGGACUGGAGCUAAGCUAGGGGCGCUGGUUCUGAUGAGGUUUUUUCCUCUGGCAGUGUCACUAAUUUAACUUGCUGGCUAGCUGCUUUAGUCACGUCAAAUCAGCAUAAGUUCCCUAGAGAGGAGAAUAGGGCCUGAAUAUUUUGGACGCCAUGCCACACUAUGUCACGCCAUGUGUUUUAUAUACUAGUAGUAUUUGUUUGUUUAUCUAUCUUGCUCAUCAUUUGUUUGUGUUACUCCUAGCUAGGCUAGGCGUAUACGUACACGCAGGCCUGUGUCUCAAUCAUCUCCGAAUUAUAAUCUUUGGCAGCAGGAGUGCAGCGAGCUGUGGCGUUCUGUGCCGUUCAGGGCUUCAGGCACGCACGAUGAGGGGGCUCUGCAGAAAUGGUGGCUUUCAUUCAAUCCUUCCCAUCUCCUCCGAGCGUUUUGGUCAUUCCAUCCAUCCAUCCAUCCUCCUCGUUUCUCCGACUCCUGAAUUCGACGCGAACAUCCAGCAGCAGCUACUGGCCUCAGGUUUUAUUUGGAGUAUUUUCUUGGAGCUGUGAUGCGAAAUUUCAUCGGUGCACACUAACUCCUGUCAGUGAUGGAGACCGAGCCAUGUCCUUGAACAAUUUUUAGUGGCCUAUGAUGUCGGUUGGAGAUGGUACAUGCUUGAGUCCUAAAAGCAGUUCGAUUUGAUAGGAUUGCUGCUAAUAAACUCGACUCAGCUGUCGUCCAAAAGAUACGAAUCUCGAUGGCCAAACCCAGAACAGAUUAACAUCUGGGGCAUCUUUUCGUGUGUGGAAAUUGCUGAAUAAGUAUUGUUGAGAAGUAGGAAUGUUUGCGGAGCUCUUCACUAGUGUGAUCUUCCUGCUUCUCUAAAAACUCGAGAUUAUCUGAAGGUCUCCUUUAUCUGUGCCUGCAGUUUUUUCUCCUCGAGAACACAAAGAAUGCCCCACCUGCUUCCCCGGCGAAAGAUUAGCUUCAAGAAUAGUAACAGUGUUCUUGGGACUGCGGUUGCUUGUACUUGUAGCAAAGUAUCGUUUCCUACUGAAGGAGAAACAACCGACGCAGUGUAAACUGUAUAACGAGUAACAGAUCAAACGAAGCGGAGAGGAGCAAAAGUUUCGCCUGCAAAGAUUCGUCAGAUGGGCUGUGCGUGUAUAGGUGCGUGCAAUGCAAGCGAUCGAGCAAGUAGACUGUUUGCUGGGAGGCAGUAGCAAGCGAUUUCGGCGCCUCACAGUGCCCAAUCUGCAUGGCGCAUCAACGGAUUUUGCGUCGAUCAUGGAGUUGGAGUAUUGAUGGGCCUGAUGGCCAGCAAGUAGUAUCGUUGAUUUUAACUGUCAGCUCCUGUCACAUGUCUGUUGUGGAUCUAAUGCAAGUUACCACGGAAGUGAUGAUCUUGGGGUUUCUUUUUCUCUCUUUUUUUCGUUUCAUCAAUUUCAUUUUAGCUUCCGUCUCUCCUGUUAUCUUUCUUUACGGAAACAGGUGCCUCUGAUCCGUUGAUUUCCUUUUUGCCUUUUGUUGGAGAAGCAGGCUCAAAGCAGCCAGUGAUUCGAGACAUGUUUCUGAAGGGUUGCUCUGAGCUCAGAAGACGCUCAUCUCACAUGACCUUCAUUUUGCAGGUGAAUUUUCAGUCAGACAAACCAAUAUUUUCAUGUUCCGCUGAGCGUUACCUUUUAUUUUUAGAACACACCGACUGUUACCCGUAUAGUACGCGAAAACUAGCAUUGCAUUCAUCACUAAACUUACCCAAUAUUUACGUUCAUCAGUCAUCGCCACGUUUUUCUAGUGAGUAAAUUACAAAAAACCACCACAUUACGGGUUAGAAUUGCACAUUGAUACCAGUCUACAUUUUUGUUGCUAAAACCCACCGAAUUUACUUAACCAUUCGCUUGCUCGCUUCUAACCUCAAAACUGACGAGGCAGGUCCACUGGUCAGGCCAACGUCACGUGCCAGCGUGUUCCACGGUAUCUCCCUUAUCUUCUCCCCGUGCUUAUCUUCGAGCCGCCGCCGCGUGGAGCCGUUGCUCCGGCCGCCGCUCCGCUUCCUUAUCUUCUCCCCGAGCAGCUCUUCCUCUCCCUCUCUUUUCCUCCUUCCUCCUUCUUUCGUCCUCAUUCGGUCAUUUCGAGCCGCCUCCUCCAACUCUGUCUAGCGCCCCUGCCUCCCCCCACCACCGCUGUCGCGCCUCCUUGGCGUCGCCUGCAAGAGCACGAGCAGCGCGUGGACAAGGUGGACCUGCCGCCCGCCCGCGUCCAUCUUCCCCGACUCCGGCCGUGCGCCGCCAAGCUCGCCGCCGCCGUGCCCGCACCUUCCCAAGCCUGAAGCCAAGUCUGGAAGCACCUCCACGCCGCCGUGGAUCCGUUGGUGCCCUCGGCCUCCGCCCCCGCUGCCCCGAGCGCCCCAGCCACGGUGACCCUCCGCCGCCGCACGAGAUCGCCGCCAUUAGCCCUCCUCCGACCGCUCUCUCGCUCCGCAGAUGACUGCAUAAGCUACGCCUUGCCGCGGCGGAGCUGACUCCGGUCUUUCCUCGACGAAUCGACCACCGGAGAUCCCCCGCGCGCCUUGUCUUCUCCAACUCCGGCGACGGCCGUGGCCGCCGGCGCGACCUUGCCUGCGCCUUCCUCCUCGCGCGGGCCCCUUCGUCCUCCGCGAGCUCGUUCUCCACCACGAGCCCGCGCCUGUAUGAGUCGCUACCCUCCAUUGCGAGCGAGCGCCGGCCGGGCGCCUUCAUCGCGUCCUUCGUGUCGCGCGUCGUGCUCUCCGUGGUGAAGCUGGAAGCGGUGGCGGAAAAUUGACAAGGAAGCCACGUCGCGCCGGCGGCCAGGCCGUUCUGUACUGCAGCGGCGCGGGUUCUUUCUUGGCUGCCCCGCUUAAAACUACGGAGAGGCCCACAAGAAUUUUUCUAGAGUAAUGAAUGCCCACAACAAUGAAUGGUGAGGCUAGCCGAGCACUUCAUGGCCCAUUACAGUUCUUGGCCCAGUUCAAAUACUGCUGCACCAUUGGCUUUUAGGAUCGAACGGCUUGGGAAGAAAUCCACAGGACGAUAUUCGAAAUUUCAGGCAACCAAGCCAUCAGGUAUAAACAAUCGAUUUAAUCUGGUUCUCAAAAAACAAAAACAAUCGAUUUAAUCUAUUAUUAUUCACAGAGACAGUUUAUUCCGUGUUCGCACCUAAUCAUCAGCUCUCUCUCUCUCUCUCUCUCUCUCUCUCUCUCACACACACACACACACACACACACACACACACACAGCAGAAGAAUUAUCAAGUGCAAUAAUACUGCAGCAGCAUGAUAUACCACCAACGUGUAAUCUCUAACAGGCUAACAACUCUAACCCCUGUCCGUGAAAAAAACUCUCUCUAGUGAUACCGUGCUAUGCUCUGUUCCCCGUUCAUGUCGCCUGACCCAUGGCCAGCGAGGCCAGUAUAAGCAGAGGGAGUAGAAUCUGCUGCGAAACCCAUCCUGCAAAUGAUAUAUCAAGGGAAAUAACAGCAAAUUAACUACAGUACCUACAACAGAUGAAGGUUUUCUCUAAAAAAAACAGAAGAUGAAGCCAUCCAGACAAUAUCUCAAGGAAAGUUACCUGGAGCAGGUGCAUGGCAGUUGUUAGAAGCACUAGCGGAGCCGGGUGGUGGUGGUGGAGUUUGUGAGUUUGUUGAUGGAAGGAUCCCGAUGCCCGCAC
This 84572-nucleotide long non-coding RNA is filed under the name Brachypodium distachyon (stiff brome). RNAcentral describes it as "long non-coding RNA (BDIS_LNC001475)". The stretch from base 10839 to 10970 matches the Rfam family "MIR1120/MIR1122 microRNA precursor family". Lineage: Eukaryota; Viridiplantae; Streptophyta; Magnoliopsida; Poales; Poaceae. The record is from RNAcentral.